CAUCUUAUUCAUCUAAUAGCCCAUAUUUUUUUCACUAGUCUUAUCAAUCUUUUAUUUUUUUAUAUUAAUUAUAUUAAAAGUUAAAAAAAUAAAUUAAACUCUUAAAUUAAUAGGUGUAAAAUUUACAGUAAUUAGAAUGUGUUUGUUUGAAAGAAAGUGAAGAUAGGUGAAGUAAUUUUUGAUCGUAAAUAUUUAUUUUUGAUAUUUGAAUUGCUGUAACUCCGCCAAGCUCACUACAACAAAAGCGGUCUAUAGCGACACUUUUAAAUAUAGGUACAUGUCAAAAAAGUGCUGCUAGCUAAAAUUACCGACACUUUUAAAAAGUGUUGCUAUAUGUGGGGUCGCUAGGUAUAUAGUGACAGUUAAAAAGUGUCGCUAUAACCUAAAAGAGUGCUGCUAAUUUACCAACACUUAUUUAAGCAUUUAGCAACCGCCGAAACUCUAUCUCGUUGGUUGCGGUGGCGGAGGAGGACGACAGGAAAGGCUCUUCGUCUAGAAUUUCAGUGGAUUGAGUGAAGAGAGAAGAAAAGAUGAUAAUUGAUUUUUCUUUUUUUUUUCUUUUCUGUUUGUAAUCGGGUCAAAUGGACUGGGUGUGGUGGGUUGAGUAGAGUAAUCUUUUAUUUUUGGUUGAAUUGAGCUUUAUAUUUAGGCAUAAGUAAAUAUUUUUUUAAGUUUUAAUAUAAAUGGGACACUUACUCAAAAGUGUUCCAAACAUGUGUCCCUAUAAUCUAAUUCUGUUGUAGUGGCUCUCUAAAAUAAAAAAAAAAGCAAGAAAAUAUGACAAAAUAUUAUUAACUCAUCUCUUGUAUUUUUAGUUCACCAAAUAAACAAUAGAACUGAGUAAACAUCAGCUUCAAAAUUGUGCAAAUAAAUAGUAAAAUAAAAAUAAUUUUUAUACGAAUUAUAAUUCAUGCANUGUAUCAAGUUAGUACCUUGUGGUUUCUCACUUUAUCACUUUAGUACCCUGUGGUUUAAAGUGUAUCAAGUUAGUACCCUGUGGUUUUGCAUUUUAUCACUUUAGUACUCUGUGGUUUUGAUUUUGUAUCAAAUUAGUACCCUGUGGUUUUUUAAACUAUAGGGUACUAAAGUGAUAAAGUGUGAAACCACAGGAUACUAAAGUGAUAAAGUACAAAACCACAGGGUACUAAUUUGAUACACUUUAAACCACAGGGUACUAAAGUGAUAAAGUGAGAAACCACAGGGUACUAAAGUGAUAAAGUGAGAAACCACAGGGUACUAACUUGAUACACUUUAAACCACAGGGUACUAAAAUGAAAAAGUGUGAAACCACAGAAGGGGGUUUUUGAAGUUUUCCCUUUUAUUUUUGUUCUUUGAAUGCAGGGAUUGGAAUGAAUAUUGACAAAGUCCUACUUAUUUUUUCCAUUCUAAGUCCUCUUCAUUGGAUUCGCUGUUCAAUGCAUGGGCGAUGCAUGUAUAAUUCAAAAUUUAUUUAAGCAUCUACAUAUACGUCGUAUCGUGUCAUGUUACAUAAUAUUUUAAAUUAAACAAAUUCGUGUUGUGUCAGUUUUGCAUUUCUUUUAGUGAUUUUUUGUUGUCUCUGAACGGUAUUUAAAUCGUGUUGUUGUAUCGUGCCCGAAAUUGCUACUCCUAUGUUAGAUAUUGGUCGAGAUCUAAGAGAAGAGUAAAUUACCAAAGAGAAUAAGAACUUAAUUUACAUGCUAUAUCUUACCAAAUAAAAAAAAAAUAUUGCAUGCUUUAAUGAAAAGAAUUACAUAUAUAAAGGCAGAUGCCUUUUUAACUUUUAUUAUUAUUAUUAUUAUUAUUGUUGUGCUGUUUUUGUUGGUGUUAGUAGUUGAGGUUGGUGAGUUUAAAGCUAUCAUUUUUCAAAAUUUUCAUAGAGGUCAAAAUAAAAAGGUCUUUUAUAGAGGAUGCCUAAAUGAAAGGUGUCAACCUAACUUUGUUUAGAUGGAACUUAUAAAGAAUAGAAUGAUUUAAAAACACAAAUUAAAGAAAAAUAAAACAAUAAGUAUUAUUUCUUUUGUUAUUUUGAUUUAUCGAAGAGAAAACAACAAUAUAUAUAUAUAUAGAGCUAGGCUCCUAUGCUUUUGAAAGUACGGGAGGCCCCGUGCUUGUAAGUUGUUUUCGAUGAUGGGACAUCCGAUUGGGCGAUCGGUUCCGUUAAACUUAAUCUACGCUAUUGGAACUAUCUAGAAACCAAAUUUCAUAAUUUUUUGAUUUUGUUUGUCUAGCGAACGAGUAGCCUCAAAAUGAACGGCUGAAAAUGAAAAUCUCAUAAAAAAUAGUGAUAAAUGAUUUAAAUUUUAAAUCGGAAGUAUUGAUUUUGCUACUGAUGUUAAGUAGAAUUUUCUAUUAAAUUUUCAUAUAAUUUGAAUACUUCUACACCGUUGAACUUAAAAAUGUGCCACAUCGACCGUUAAAAUAGUCAUUUUUUAGACCUUUUGAUCGCUUAGUAAAUGAUAUAAAAAAAAUCUAAAAUUUGGUUUCUAGAUAGUUCCAAUAGGGUAGAUCAUACCUAACGGAGCCGAUCGUCGAAUCGAACGUCCUAUCAUCAAAAACAACUUACAAGCACAGGGCCUCCCGUACUUUCGAAAGUAUGGGAGACGGAAUGCUAUCGGUAGCAAACGGACUUCGUUGCCACCCAUUUGCUUUCGAUGAUGGAGCCUUCAAAUCGACGAUCGGCGCAAUUGAAUAUGAUUUAUAUACUACUUGAAGUAUCUAAAAACCAAAUUUCGAAUAUUUUUGACGUUAUUGACCUAAUGAUCAAAGAGUUUCAAAAUUUAUAAUUUUCAUGGUAGAUAUGAAACGUUUUUUCGUUUAACGGUAUAAAACAAUCCAAAUCAAUUGAAUUUUGAUUAGAAAAUUUUUUAAACUAUUUAAAAUAAGAUCUAUACUCUUGAUCUUACUUACAAAAUUUUUAUCAUUAUUUUUUAAAGAAUAUUUAUUUUUAACCGUUCAUUUAUACGAAUUAAGAAAAGACAACAAAUUAAAUAACAAAAAAAAAUGCCACAAAAAUGACUCAGAAGAUUGCGCAUGUGACAAAAAAAAAAAAAAAGUCUCAUCCUCUGAAAUUAUAUGUUUUUACUAAGUGAAUUUUCACCAUAUGUGUUACUCUAAAAGAGAAUCACAUAGUAUUUCUGAAUUAAUGUGAAACAACAAUUUAUUUUUAAAAACUUAAGCUACUACAAAAUAAUAUUUUCAUAAUUAUAUAUACAUAUUCAAUACUCAAAGUGCUCACAAAUGUAUUUGACAUGCAAGCGAAGCAGCAGGGAUUUAACCCCUAGAAUGUGAAAAUUUAUAUAAUUAAAUAUUGAAAAUGAAAAUUAAACUCAUGACCUCACAAAAUGACAAAACUUUAGAAUUAGUACUGGUACUAUAUGAAUUAACGUAAAACAACCAUUUCUCUCUGAAAAUUUAUAUAAGCUUCUUAUGCUCAAAAGUGUUUUUACUUUUGACCACUUUUAUUUUCCUACAUCACUCGAUCAGUAUAAUUUUAUGUCUUCAAGUAGCGAUUAGGGAUGUCAAUAGGUACGGAUAUCCGAAAUUUUAUCCGAACCCGAAUCCGAACAUAGCGAAUUUAUCCAAUCCUAAAUGAAUAUGGUUUCGGAUAUAAAUAUCAAAAAUAAAAACCCGACGGAUAUGAAUAUGGAUAUGAAUUUUGACUGUGCCCGAUCCGAACCUGAAUUUAUUUUACAUUAUAUAUAAUAUGUAUAUAAAAAUUUGAUAUUAUAUUUGAAUUUAAAUUGAAAAAUUUAAAUUUAAUAUAAUAUAUUUUGAAAUAUUGAAAAGAGAAACAAUUGUUUCGGAUUCAGAUUUUCGCGUUCAGGUUCGGGUUUGGAUUCGGAUUUGAAUAUGAAUUUUUAAAAUCUAUCGGGUUUGAAUUUGAAUUCGGAUUUCCGAUUUGGAGUCGGGUUCGAAUUUUUAAAAAUCUACCCCGAAUCCGUCCCAACCCGAGCCGUAGAGAUCCCUAAUAGCGAUUUCCAAUUGGAUAGCCAUUGCUUUUCCCAAUCGUGCCUUUUUGUGUUGGCCAGUAGUUGUGACACGAACCCCUAAAAACAAAACUCGUCAAAAAAAAAAACAAAAAACAAAAAAACAAAAAAAAGCACCCUACGUAUGCGGCGCCGUAUUCAGCAGCGUCUUGUUGUUGUCGUCGCCGACAUUGAAAAAUCUCCUUUGUGGGCUUUGAAAUUUGAAGCAGUGAUUUGAUACCUUACAUAAUGAGACUCGCUGCUAACUUGCUAAUUCUCGCUUUAGCUGUUAAUGCUGAUCGCGACUAAUUAAUAAGAAGACGUAACCAAAUUAUUAUUUGAAUAGAGCUAUAUCUUUUAUUAAAAAAAAAAAAAAAUUAACUAUUUUCUAUUACAAGGAAUUAAGAACUUCUUUGAUAUUGUUGUUGUUGUUGUUGUUUUUUCACUUUUAUAAGCGAAAUUUAAGAAAUUGAUUAGUAUAUUUCAGUACUUUUGUUAUUGUUAGCGAACUUGCAAUACAAUUUAUUUUUUUCGUAAAAUAAAUUUGUUAAACAUAUACGGCUGCAAGUAUUCCACCAUCCCUUGACAUUAACAACAUCAAACGGGUUCUAAAAAAAGUUAAAAAGUUCAUGUUAGAUUCUUGCCGCAAUAGAUACUCUGUCGCAUGCAUGUAUACUGAUCAGAUGCAAUAAAUCUACUCUUAUUUCAUAACUCGCUUUAUAACUUGCAAAACAUCUUGGAGCUGUUGCUUCUCGAGGUGGAGAAGCUGUCUACAAGCUUAGCCUAUUGAGUUUUGACUUGGCAGGCUAGAUUAAGUGCUUUGGUGAGCAGCACUGUAGGGUCUGCUUUGGAGGCUUCUGGGUUUACAAUAAUUCUGAGCUUCUAGUGGUGGUCCUGCCUCUGCUUUUGGGGUUAGUUGGAGCAUCACUUAUCCAAAACACUCAAGAAGCUUCAAAUUAUUCAGUCUUAUUCACAUCAUGAACACAAGUUUCAACUUCUUGAUGCAAUCUCGACCAGAGAUGGGAGGACUACUGAUGCCAUCUGCGCAGCUCAGCACCUUGGAUGCAGAAAAUUCUUGCACGCUCUUUAUCAGACCGCUCAUAUGAAGAGUGAUAUACAUUCAUUAGUCGAAAAAACGAGAUCUACAGAUGGAAAUUGACCUCGCUUUUCAAUGAAUAGCCCGAUUAAGCAGUGCGCACAAAUUUUCUGUGCAGCGGUCCACCCCUGUUUUCCUGUUUGGCUUCAUUAAAGAGAACUUUUAUUCUGAAAAGUGGAAGUUUGGUGCUUUUUGGCAACCUGUUUAGUGCGUCUACAGAAGCACUUUAAUUCACCAAGGAAUAAUUAGGAGACUUCACUGAGUAAUUGCUAGAGAAUCUGGAACCAGUUCUAUUCAAAUUACACUGUUCUAAAGAAAAGGAAAAGAAAAGAAAAUCUAACAAGGCAAGGAAGGACACAGAGGAGGAAUUCUAAAGUUUCUGAGAAAGAGACAAAGUAGCAAUUGCUUUAUACAGUGGUUAUCUAAUGGGGAUCUGUGGACCAUGUAUUGAUCAUAGAAAUUGUCUCAGCUUCUAAAGCAAUGUUCCAAUUAAUGUGAUGAUGAUACUAAUUGUACUAGUAUUAAGGACCUGUUUGUUUGUUUCAGAAGCUGUAUAAUUGGUAUCUGGAUACAGCCAAGCCAAAAAGCACUUUUCUUCUUGAGACGGCCAAUCAAAAAGCACUAAUAAUUGUUCACUUAAGAUUCCUCCAAUAGCCUUUAGUACCUGCAGAAAGAAGAGACUUCAAUUGUAAGUUCUAUUUUUACAGCUCAAAAGAUUAAAUUUUAUUUACAAAUAAUCAAAACUAAUGAGGAAAACUAAGAAUGACCGAUUGUGUUUACGGUUAUAUUUUCACUUACAUUUAUUAAAUGGAAGUGACAGUGAACAUCAAUUUUCCAAAACUCUGAACAAGAGUUACUUGGCUGACAUUGCUUUUAACACAGCAGUCCAACGAUCUAAUUAUUGUUCGUUGAAUUGAACCAAGUUCAGCUUCUAUGAAAACUUCCGUUCGCAAUGUAAAUUCACUGUAAACAAUAUCUUGUAACCGACUGUCGACUGCAAAAAGGAAUUACAGAUGAAUGUGGCUUCUUCUGUCACAUCAUGCAGAAGAUGCCGCGGAAUGACAAUGAAACCGUGAAAAGGGAAUUACUAAUGAAUUUGGCUUCUUCUAUCACAUCGUACAGAAGAUGCCGUGGAAUGACAAUGAAAGAUAGUCUCUUCUUCAAAGCAAAAGAUUGAGAAGAAGCAAAGCAUGAGACAAAGUUCGAAAGCAUGUCUGCAUCACUUGGUUUCUGGUUCGCCGGGCUUCAGACAGAGACUAUCCAUUUGUAAUGAUCAUCACUUAGGGUGGUCCCUUUCACCUAGAGCCGGAGCUUAUCCAUUUGUGGUGAUCAUCACUUAGGGUGAUCUCUUUUGCCUAGAGGGGGAGCUUCUGGAAAAGUACUGUCUGAGUUAUCCAAAAUUUCAAAUGGCCCAAUGAAUUAAGAACUCAACUUUUCUCGAAUGUCAAAUCUUUUAAUUUUUUUUUUAUCGGUGAUACUUUCAAAGAGAUAUGAUCAACCACUUGGAACUCCAAUUCCUGCCGAUAUUUAUCCGCAUAGCUCUUUUGUCGACUUUCACAAAAUUUUCUCAAAUAAUUUUGUUUUGCAGGUAGAAUCAAAUGCUUCAAGCUGGUAUUUUUUGAUUAGAUAAAUUACACCACUUUUGGUCACCAAGCUUACAGUUUCACUUGGGUCAGGAUACUUAAAUUUUUUUCCACCUAAUGCAUUUAAUUAUAAGAUUGCUAUUAUAAUAAGUAAAGCUUUUGCUGAAAUAUAUAUAUAUAUAUAUAUAUAUAUAUAUAUAUAUAUAUAUAUAUAUAUAUAUAUAUAUAUACCGUUGAGCUAGAAUACUAUCAGUAGCAAAUGGGUUCCGUUGCUACCGAUUUGUUUUCGAUAAUAGAGCCUUCAAAUCGACAAUCGACACUAAGCCAUAAUUUUAACUGCUUAGCACUAGUACUGUAACUUCACCUAUACCAAAUAAAACAUUGUCCCACAGUCAAACCCUUUAUCAAGAUGCAAUAUUAAAUAAUAAUAAUAAUAAUUAAAUAAGUUUACUUGCUAAUUGUCAAAGUAGGUCUUUCUUUUAUUUCCUCAAAUUUAUUGUCCUUCUUUACUAUUCGAUUCCCAUAACAAUCAGCAUUUGAUCAAAUGAAACAACAGCAAAAAGAUGGAGAAAAAUUGGCAAUCACAAUAAUAGCAGCAGCAGAACAUUUUUACAAGAAAAUUGUAGUAUGUUCAGGGAAGUGUACAAAAAUUUUCACCAAAAUUCCUUACCUUGGGAGCUAUUUGGAGUAGCAGCAUUUGCCGAUAUACUUGUUACAUGCCAUCUAAUGCCAAAACCCUAGUAUGACCGCAAUGCCGAAAAGCACCGAGAGAAUCAAAUUUGCACAUGGCAGGAGAUCUCCUGUCAAACGAGCUGAUCUGCAGAUGUAAUCAAUAAUGAAUUAGUUUCAUGAUGUAUAAGCAAAAUACAGAUGCAGUUUACAGAACACUGAAGAUGGGAAAGGGAAAGAAUUUUGGUUCAAAUAUUACAAAUCCAGUCGAAUAGGUGCUUCCAUCUUGGUAGAUAAAGAGUACAAAAUCUUCAUGAAAUAAUAUAUGCUUUUCAAGGAUAGUUUUAAAAUUUCCAUGAGAAUAUUUGUAUGUUUAUCACCAAUCUAUAUAAAAAUUACUAGUAUGCAGUACAUGAAUCUCGAGUAGAAGAACAGAAUCACAGUUCAUAAUUUAUUGAAUUCAACAACAGAUAAGAAUCUACUGCAUUUCAUACUCUUUGACAAGGACUAAGUAACAGCAUUUGUUUCUUUAAAAGGCCAAUUGAGUUGCACAGUAAUUAUAAUACAAAUCUGAAAUCAUUUCCCUAUCAGCAUGAUUUCUACUUUGCAAUUCAUAGCUGUUUCACACUUUCUUGUCGAAUCCACUGAAGGUAACUAAUUCUGACAUUCAGGACGAGUUUAAGAUGAUGUUGCUUCUACCGAAAAGUGUCUUCUAACUAGCAUGUUUCCUCGAUUGUUGUCCUCGUAUAGCCCUGCAUCUCACUUUUAACUUAGUGACACUUCAUACUAGCAUGAUAAGUGCGUACGAAACAUGAACCAAAAUGGAACUAAUGCAUCGUAAUGGUUUAUUUGUUUGUUUGUUUAUGAGAAAUGGCGUCUAUUUUCGUGAAUUUCAUUACACUAUUUGCAAUGUAACCUCUCGGUAUAUUUUAAGCAAUCUUUACCCAAAUCCAUCCAGCUUACAUACUAUUGAGUCUCCUAGAAUGAAAACUAACUCAUCUCUGAAUUUUCUAAAUGUAUUGAACAAUUUUCAUCCAAUUCUGAAGUUUCAAUCAAACUAAAACCUAAAUUGUAAGACAAAGUUUCAAUCAAGCUGAAAACUAAAUUGUAAGACAAACGAAUAGAUUCUGAACUUUCAUCGAUUCUUCAAUGUUUUUCAUUGAGUAUUAUAGUCACCAAUUAUAUAACGAAGUUUACUAUUUUUUUCUGAAAUGUUUUUGCAAGAAUUACAGGAAUAGGUUUAACCACAUAGUAUGAGAAAAAUUAUGUGGAGAGAAGAAUCAACAACGCAAAAACUUUGUUAUAAAUUCCCCUUUUCCUUAUCGGUAUCAGGACGUCUCGAAAUAAUACCGAGGGCAGGGGAUUCAAUUAACCGAGAUUCAGAAGCUGAAAUUAUCUUGUGAAUGACAUUGCAUAUUCCAAAUUAAAGUCAUGUAACGAAUAUCGUAUUUGUUAAUCGUACCUAUAUCUCUUCCUUGAACGAUGAAUCCAAGCCAUUGCAGGCGGGAGGACUCCAAAGAGAAAGCAAUUUGCAUAUACUCCUGAAAAAUCUAAAGCCUUAGAAAAGGCCGUUGAGAAGAAAGACGCGGUGAAGAUCGGAACAAGAAGCACGAGCCACAUAAUCAUUAACCUACUCACACUAGAAUUAUCUUGCAAAUUAACCAACCCAUUUGCGCCAUUAUAUCUAAUAUCUUCAUUAGCACCUUCACUAAGAACUCACAUUCCACCAUUGCCUGAUCUUUCCCUUGUAUUAUCAUCAGAACCUAUUCGAAGUACUUUUCGUUUCUUUUCAAACAUUUCUAUUAUCAACUUCACUGUAUCUUCUAACUGUUUUGGGAAGCUCACAGCAUAACCUAUCAGACUAGUCACCAAUGCAGCAAAUGCAAACCCUUGGACAGCGGGCAAAGCCGAAGGAUUCACCGAGAGUAGAAGCUUGAUAGGAUCAUCAAAUCCCAUAUUGCAGAUCCCCGCUAGUCCUAAAAUAACUGCGUUCCACGAAAGAACCAUCACCAACAGAACAGAGCCUCCGAUUAAUAUAGCUUUACUAGCAUUGUAGACUGAAUCCCCUGCAAUUUUACAUAUAAAGGGGGUAACAACAUGGAAUCCUAAAGUGAGGACCGUCGCGAGAAUCGCUGUUAAGAUUGUUUCAGGUCUCCAACAAGCAUAAGAAAGAGAACCCAACAAAUCACUUCUCCCGACACACACUCCAAUUGACACAAGAGAAGGAAUAGAGAAGAGCAUCAAACAACAUAGAAAUCGAUUAGUAACAUCAAUGGCCUUGAAAGGGAAGAAUCCGAGUACGACUCCGACGAAAGAGGGGGAAAUCACAUGAGCUAAGAUUGGAGUAAUGUGAGGAAACUGCUGCGUUAUAAGAAAACCAAUGCCCGAGACGCAAGCAACUAAAAGAGAAAAGCUGAGGCUGAUGUAGAUGACGACGACGAAGGCCCCGACUUCCGGGCCUAAUGCAUUGAUUGCUAGCCAGGUGAAGCUCACCUCUUCUCUGCCAUUCUCUUCCACGGCAGCGAAGCUGUGCUCAGCGACGAGGACAAUGGAGGAGAUGAGGACGAGAUGACAUAGACCCAACAGAGGAUGAUGGCGAUGGUAGAUGGAACAGUCCCCGAUCUUAUGGUGGAGGCAGGGAGGCUGAGCAUUCCGGGGCCACAGCAGUGCCUAUGAUCAAACUACUGCACCCCAAAAGGUCUUUUCUUCAGUUUUAGCUUCUUCAACUUCAUCUUUUUUGAAUCCUUCAACAAUCAAUACUUCUUUGAUGGAGUUUUCUUCAGUCACAGUGGCUUUGGUUAUUGAGAUAAUAUUACUGUGGCAGGUGGAGAUCCAUUACAUCUUUUCAGCAGCUACAGCCAGAGGGAGUUCAGAGAAUAUGCAUUUGACACAAUAUUCCCUGGACAUGAUGUAUAGACAACAAGCCCUUUUUGUCUUUUCACUAAUCUGGCUUCUUUUGAAACGGCUUCUUUAUUAUAAAACAUAAUAAUUAUAAAAUUAUAAAAUAAAAAUUUGAAGAUUUUGCUGUUACAGUGAGUUAGUAUCCUUUGGUUCAAGAUGCAGGUAGAAUAACUAUAAUUUAUUAUUUGACCGCAUAUUUUAUCAAAAAAAAAAAAAAACAAUGAGUAGGACUAUGUAGAGUAACUCUACACUGCAGAAAAUAAAAAAUAACUCUUGCCUGCACUAAACUGAUCUGGGCAACAAAAGUAUAAAAAAUGAGCAAUGCGAAGACAUGCCACCAUAAAGGUACCAGAAAAGAAGGAGGGGGAAAAAAGCCACCAUGAUAUCUUAAAAUAUAUAUAUCAACAUACAGACAAGGGAUCAGCUUUACACAUAUAACAGAUUUAGCUUACCAAAUUUCAGACACCAAAGAUCAUCACAAGCUCUAUACUCUCAUCAAUGUUUUAAAGUGAUCACGUUAUUAUAACCACCUUCAGAGAGCCAAGAUCAACAUGACAAUAGUGAUAAUAUAUCAUAGGGAAAUCUGAGUAAAAAGAUCAAGAAAUAAAUUUAUUUUCAAUAAUUAAAAGUUGUUCUAACAAAAUAAUUAACAAAUAUUGAGGAGAGCUUAAAGGCCACUUCAAUUAGCAUCUUAUUAGAUGGUGAUAAUGUAAAAGUAAAUCCACAAAGAGACAGAUUAGAAUGCCGAAAAAGAAAACACCAAACACUCAAAAUAUUGCAUACACGAUAUCAAAAGUUAUACCUUUUUCUUUUCCUUAUCUUUGAGAGUUACAAUGCACUCGAGCUAUGACAGCAUGGCGAAAUGCAGAGUGACUGAUGCAAGGACAGAGUGCUGAGAAUCAUAGGUUCACGAAUCAAAAGGUAUGGAACGAAGAUCAAUAGAGAGUAUGAUCUUAAAAAAUAAACAUAUCUAAACAAGAAGAAUACAAUCACUAGCUUGCAUUUUCCAUAAUCAAAAGACUGAACUUGUCACUCUAAUAUGUCAAAUAUGUCCUUGUCUCGCCCACUUGUUUUUGAAAAUGCUCCGAAUGGAAUAAUAUCUACUAAUUGCUUCGGCCCCAGCAAAGAGUUCUAUAUGUUAUACUGAGUGUUAUUCAAAGUACACAACAAAUAUUUUAACAUGUUGCAUCAGUAAGUCAUAUUAAAUUAGAAUUCCCUAAAGCAGAAACAUAAUACAUUCACAUCGAUUGAUCAUCUAGAAUUUUGCCAAGAAAUAAAAAUUCACUAUUUUAACAAAAUCUGACCAUACCCAGCAAAUUACAACAAUAAUUUGAUUGCCAACCAUGAUGGUAUGUCAAAAUUGCAUAUAGUAGCGGUCACAACAAGUAUUGCACAGAUAAAUAGCAGCUCGCCAGAACAAAAAAAUUGCCAAGUUCCUGACAUGAGAAAUAGCAAAAGCAAUUCAUUUUCCAGCAAUCAUAAGCAAAGGUGAGAUCAUUCCCUGUAUCUCCCGCAAAGAAUGCUGUAUCCGUAUCUCCUCCGCAACCAUGCGCUUAAGGUUCCUAACAUGCCCUCUCAUCUCAUCCGACGACUGGAUAUCCUCCACACGCAUCUCAAGAACCCUCUUAGCCAGCCCCAUCAAGAACCUUGCGUGCCUCGGCAUUGUAGCGAAUUUAUGCAGGAACCCUAAUAGUAGCCCAAGCUCAUCCCUAUCCAGAUUCCCAACACACAAAAGAAGCUUCUUCCUCGCCACCAACUCCUCCAUCACGGCCACUAUACUAUUCGGAUUCUUCUUAUUUAGAGCGGCAACAAGAGCAUCCUUGUGCCUGAAUUUCCUCAACAAUUUGUCAUGCUCCGCCAACUUCACCUUCGCAGGUCUCUUUAUGACGAAAUCACUCUCCCCCGGCUUCUCAUUCUGGCCUCUACGAAAGUACCUAAAAUUCGUCGGCCUUAGAACCGGUUUCUCCGGCUUGGGAUUCGACCAGUCAAACUCGCUAGCAGCUGUAGCCCCUUCAUCCUCCUCUUCUUCUCUCUGCUUCUUCUUCUUCCCCAUGUAAAUGAUCCCAUUAGACGUUCCAACAACCCUCAGCAAUCCGGAGGGCGAGAACCCCACCGACAGCAGCUGGGCAGGGUACCGCAUCGAGUGAGUGAUCUUAAACGCUGCAAAAUCAAAAAUUUUGAGAUACCCAUCGAUCGAAACGCUUAGAAGUCUCGAUUCCCCGCCAUCCUUGCCGCCGUCGAGUCCGCCGGUCCUCCCAAGCGACAGCGCUGUGACGGUCUUGUUGUGGCUCUCCACGGAGUGGACGAGCCUCCCGCCGCCAAUCACGUCCCAGAUCUUGACGGAAUUGCCGCCGGCGGAGGCGAGGAGGCCGCCGGACGGGAGGAACAGCACGCUCUCGACAGGGUCGCCGUGGUCAAGGGCCAGCACGGAGUUCGAAUUGGCGGCGGCGCGGACGUCCCACAUCUUGACGACGCGGUCGUAGGAGGCGGUGGCGAAGAGGUCGGGGGAGGCGGGGGAGGCGGCGGCGGCGCGGACGUAGUCGCGGUGGGCGGCGGGGAGGGAGAGGAGGGGGGUCUCGGAGGUGACGUCCCAGUAGGAGACGAGGGCGUCGUCGCCGGCGGAGAGGAGGUGGAGCUUGUCGGCGAGGCGGGGGUAGCGGACGGCGCGGACGGGGCGGGAGUGGGCGCGGAGGCGGCGGAGGGGAGGGGCGGCGCGAUCGGAGCGGAAGACCUGGACGACGCCGGAGGCGCCGCCGGCGGCGAGGAGGGCGCCGUCGCAGCGGAAGGAGGGGGAGAAGGCGACGUCGGAGAAGGAGGAGAGGGGGGAGAAGGGUUUCGGGGCAGGGGAGGGGGAGGAUCCGCCAUGGAAGAGGUGGAUGGAGGCGGAGCAGGCGGCGGCGAGGUCGAAGGGAGGGGAGGGGGAGAACUCGAGGGAGGUGACGGGGAGGUGGAGGUCGGAGACGAGAGGGGAGGUGGUGAAGGAGCGCCAGAAGCGGGACUCGGGGGUUAGGGUUUUGGGGGUGCGGAGAGGAGCGGCGUGGCGGUGGUCGUCGACGGGGAAGAAGGGUUUCUUCGAGGUGGUGUCGGCCAUGGCGGAGGAGUUCGGCGAAGGUUAGGGUUUCGUGGAGGGGAAAAGGAUCUAAUAAGGGUUUUAUUAGGGUUUGGGUUUUGGCGGAAGAGGGAAAACAAUUGCCUGCGCCUGGUGUAUCCGUACGCCUCCUGCACCUCUACUAAUAUUUUAUACUUUUUUAUUAAAGAUCUAAUUUGAUGCACAAUAUAUAAGGCCAGAAUAAUAAUUAAUUUUAUGCUAUUAUGUACUUUGGAAGAGUAUAUAUAUAUAUAGCACUAUAAACUAGGUACAGAGCCAAUCCAACAAAAAUGGCAUAAUUAGGCAGUCACAAAAUUGAGAACAAAAAUGAAAAAACAAAACAACCAAAAAGGAAAAGAAAAAGAAAAAGAAAAAGAAAAAAAAAGAUUUCAUGUUCAAUCAUCUUCAAUAUCCACAACCAAGAUAUCAGAUGCUUGACAUUUUUCCUCAGUAAGAAAUCGCGCAUCGAGAGACGCGAUUGCGUUCAGGAACUUUAUAUGCCCAAUAACCUGAGCACCGGUGAUUUUCGCGAGGUCGGCGGCCUCCUUGACCCUUUCCUCCUUAACCUUGAUAAGAUUGCCUGUACUGCAUUCAUUCGGAGGGUCUUCAUUGUAAACAAAGUAUAAUUCUGGAGAAGAUCCAUUCGCAGUUGAGCCCGACGCUAACAAAUUGAUUACUCCAAGGAUUUUUCCACCGGCCGCCACUCCGAGGUCCUCGAGGCAGACCUUAUACAAAGGAACUAUGUAGUCGCUGAGACAAAAACUUAGUCCUGCGAAUAACUUCGGUGCCUGUAAACAAGCACGGAUUAAAAGUGAGAGUAUUUGCCACGCGCAAAUUCGUACAUGUGAAUACAGGUUGCAGUUUUAUAAGCAGAAUUCUGCAUCUCAUAGAAUGCAAGAAUUGUUGUUAAUGAUUGAAAAAGAGAAUUGCAGCAUUUGUUAAAGAAAGCGAAAAAUGAAUUUCAAAGUGUGUGCAAGAGCAACAGAGAGAGAAAGAGACCUUUUCCAUAGCCCUGAUUCUUCCCUUUUUGGGCCCAUCGAAGGAUCCAUGGAGAUCAAAGGCGACUUCAAACGGCUCUUCGGAAACUGGGUGUCCAGAUUCCAUGCAGGCCUCGACCCCUGAAAAGCCACAUCUAGUUUAGUGACAUAAAAUGUAUAAGUAAUAAAAGAAAUAAAUGAUGACCACAUAGCAAUGAACACUAAAAACAUAUACUGAAUAUUAGAAAAAGAUUCUGAGUACGUAUGAGUUUCAAAAUGCCUGGUUUGUCACACACAGCACCAAACUUUCAGUGUAAGUUCUAAUUCAGAGUUGAUCACUAUAGUUUGACGUGCAAGUUUUGUCACAGAUUUUUUGAAAAUAAAACAAAUUAAAAGUGCUUUCGCUACAGAACAACUAUCAAGUAAAAAAAAACUCAAGUAGAAAUGAAGAGUUGAGAUUGAAGGUUAAAGUAGCGCUUACAUGUCAUUCUAACCACCCAUUUUCCAUGCAAUAUAGCCAUGAGGACCUUGUGUGAUCUUCUGCAUGCGACUCUGCCGUCCGUGGAUGUGAUAACAUGAGUAACAUUUUGUCUCCAAUUUUUCACCAUGGUUGCACCAGUCAAAAUUGCAAAUUUACUAAGAAGAUCCUGAAAAGACAAUUUAAGUAAUGAUUGAAGCUACGUACAAAAACCCAGACGCCAAAGACAAAAAAGUUUUGGAAUUUGACUUUUCUUAAAACUUAGUGACGAUAUAAUGUAGUGAAGAUAUAAUAUAACGAAAGCUAAGUAUUGAGAAAUAUAUCUUCUGAGUUUACCUUCUCUGAUUGAGUGAGAGCAGAUCCCAGUAAUAUCCAUUCAUUAGGACGAUUAAGUUUGAGUUCAGAGACUUGACCGCUUCGCUGUCCUUCCUCAUUAGAAGGGUUCCUGGCAAAGAUAAUAUAGAACACCGAACUUGCUCCGUUUACUGUCAAUCUAGUAAAUAAAAUGCUCGAGCCAAGCUUACAGUACGUAGGAAAUGAAAGAAGGCUUAGAGAAUGGAAGCAUACAUCUGAGUGGACGAGGAACAAUUAUUUUCAACCAUCUUCAUAGAGUCUUCAUCACAAGGUAAUUUCUUAGAUGAAUGAGAAGGACAGAGAACAUGGAAAUUUUUCUGUGACAAAAAAAAAAAAAAAAAAAAAAAUCAAGAAAAUCGAGAACCAGGGCCUUUAACAAUGAUAUAUAGUGAAGAGCUACUCACACAAUCCCAACGACAAUCCGGAAUGUCAAUAGCACACGGAACAUGAAAGCUCUUCCUACAGCUCUUGUAAUAACAGCCGAGAGCUGCUCCAUUCAGCCCACAUUUGCUGCAUUUUAUCUGUGACGCACGUGCCAGUUCAACCUCGAAGUUUAUAACAGUAUCACCGGAAAAAUAUAUUUGGGGGGACCUGCAUUACAAAACCGAUCAUUUUGUAAGAGAAUGGAGAUUUCAACCAUUCUAACAUCAACCAAGAUACUACGAUUACAAAUUAAAUGAAGUCACUAGUACAUCAGAUUGACUAAAACGAAAUGAAACAUCACAAAGAUGAUAAACUUGUCUCAAAAAAUUAAAUGCAGUAUUUUUAAUUAUUGAACCAAAAUGCAAUAGCCUGUACUUUCCCCCAAAAACCCCGCACACUCCCCACCUCCCCCUCCCUUUUUCUUGGGCCAAAGUAAAAAUCUAGCAGGUUGUAAUAGUUUUAUUCUUCAACAAAAGUCAAUGAAAAUAAUGAAACCAUUUGUAGAGAGCAAUACCAGUCAAAACAUUUCUGAUGAACAUGCAUGACAUUGGAGUGAUUGGCUUCUUCAGCUGCUACCAGCUCUCCAUUUACAUAACACAGCAUCGGACCAGAAGCCUGAUUGAACCAAAAAGUUAGAAAGACAAAUAUCAAAUAGAACACUAGUUCAGGAGAUCAAGAGAAACUUUCGACGAAAGUUCUCUACUUAGGAAGUCAGCUACAUAGUAAAGUACACAGAUAGUGUCCAGUUCUACCAGUGAAGUAAAAUAAAGCAUUUGUAGAAUGGUGAUUACCUCAGUGGUCCUAAAUGUAUGGCAAAAUACACAUUCGUCAACGUACAAUUUAGUAGGCGUACACAGUGGUUGCUUAUUAACCUGCCCGCAUUGGAAAUUCUUCACCUUUUCUUGCUUAGUUCUCUUUGGGCCUUUAACAACCUCUUUGGUUUGACACCUCUUUUUCAGCAUACUAUUUUGUCUAUCAGAUAGUUGGGACUCAGAAGUCGAAAGAUCCUUGCAAGAAGGCAAUGUGGUUUCUCUUGUCGUAUGUGUUUCAAUUUUCUCAAACUCAACCUUCGCUGAUGAUAAAUUGUUUCCCUGGAAUGGCAUCAAUUCAAUAACUAGUUGAAAACAGAAAAUCGUGUAUAAACACUGAACACAAACCAGUAUCGUGGAUAGCUUAAAAAGGAAGAUGUCGUUCAUACAUUACAAGAGAAACUAAGGCCUACCAUUACAUCAUCCUGCUUUAUGAUCUCAUAUCCUGCACAAUUCAAUAUACCUGCGUAUAGUGGAUUUUUGCAAUCUAUGCAUCUAUGUGGUUUGAUUGGAAACAAAAAACACUUUUUUUUUUGGUUUCCUGAAAAAUAAAAGAUUAGUUGGAGCGUAAUGGUAACAAUAGGGAAGCCCAAGUACCGGCAUCCAGCAUAUUCAAUCAGCAAAAAAAAAAAAAAAAAAAAAAAAAAAAAAAAAAAAAAAAAAAAAAAAAAAAAAAAAAAAAGUGUUCAGAACAAACAAUGUAAGCUUUGCCAUAAAGAAGGCCUGAGAUGUCUGUUACCAAUCAUAAAUCAUGCCAUUGGCACCUCAGCUUCGAAGUAUCUCAGAUGAUCGCAUACAGAAAAGAAAAAAGUUAACGUUCAAUGACAGCACAAUGAUAGAGAAUGUGAUUUCAAAUGAUCUUCUACAACUAGUAAUGUCCAAGUAGAAGAACUGAAACAGUAGCUUAGAAACUAAAUUUAUCUCUUCAACAAAUCAAUCAUCUCUCCAUGCGUACAUAUUUAAAGUGAUUCGUGAAAUUAAUUACUAGUGUACUACUACUUUCUAUAGACCAUGUACUGAAAGGAAGUACCUUCAGUUAUGAAUAAUUUUUCAGGAAAAUACCUCCAUUAAACCAGGUAUGGUUGCUGAAGAGUCGCGUUGUCUAGUGGGUUCACUAUUGUGAGAUCGUCUUUCUUGACAGAUAUCAGCAAUAGAAGAGUCCAUAUCUCUGAAAAUAUUUACCAUAGCUCCCAUGUGAACAGAAUGUCUAACAUCUGCGAAUAUUAAACUGAAGAAAAAUGAGGAUUAAAAGGGCAUUUGACCAUAACUUAGAAUCAUGUUAGAAGAAACACCUUUGUCGAGAAAAGUACAGUUGCAAGCUGGACAUUUUGCACUUUGUUCCAUCUGCCGAUGAAUACAAUCACUAUGCAUGUUCGAUCACAUCAAUCAGUGUAACCACUUUAUAAGUAAAUUUUCUCCCAUUGAACUUAAAAGAUAGAGUUAGAGCACAAAAUACCCACAAAACAAGUGAUUGCAAGGUAGCAAUGUUGGUAUUUUUAGCAAGUUUAAGCUGCAAAAAAAUGUAGAACAAUAUUAGCAUGCCCGGAAACAAAUAAAAUUCCUAUAAAGAAAUGGUGUGCUAGAUCAUAAUUUAUCAAAUACACCUCAUGACUUCUUUUUCUUUUUUUUUAAAAAAAAAGGAACAAAUGCUGUUGUAAACAUAACAUAGGCAAUUUAAACUAUUACAUGCAAAAGAGUACUUUGAAAUGUUUCCAUUUUUAUGUAGUUCUUAUAGUUGGCAUUUAAAUUGAAAAAAAAAAAGGCAUGCUUUGAGUUUUAGUUGUACAUCAACAUCAAAAAAAUUUAUUGGAUACAAUAUUAAUAUAUUAUUGGCCCAAAAUGAUUAUGGAAUAUAGAUACAUAAAUGCACAUAUAAUGAUACUUUAUAGUAGGCAGUUGUUCAUCCACACCAAGCUCUGGAUAUUACAUAAGAAAUAAUGCAGCAUAUUUCACCGAAAUAAACUCUUAUUAGCUUUAUCAAAUAAAAAAGACAUUAUUUAAAGCAAAAAUAAAAGAAAAAGGAAUGUCCAUCUACUAGGAAAAACACCUAGACUCAUGCACUAUGAAAACAAUGAAGAGAAAAGAGAUGUCUUAUUCUUAUAUAAAAACGUAAUCUAUUUGCAAACAGUAUUUCUAAUAUUUGAAAGGUAAAAUAUAUAGACUUACCUGAACUACGGACCAUUUUGGUUUAGCAAUCCAAGCUUUCAAAAUUUUGAUUUUACUACAUAACUUUUCAAUUUGUUUGAUUUGAUCAGUGAACAGCAUUUUGACUUCAAAAUUGAAUGCUUCGUUUAUUUUUAUUGGUUUAGUUAGUAUAUUUCAUUUAAUUUUUGAAAUUAUAAAUUCUUCAAAGUAGGUAAUUAGCUUAAACUUUGAAACCAAUGUGCCAUUAAUCAAAUAAAAAAAGUGAACAGUUGGGUAGUAAAAUCAAAAUUUUGAAAGAUUGGGUUAGCCAAUUCAAAAUGAUUUAUUGUUCAGGAAUAGUUUCGUAUGUUUUUACCUAUUUUAAAGUUAACAAUGUCCCUCGUUACAACAGCUGACACCAUGAUAGUGACCAUACGUAGGCAUCAGUUUUUUAAAUAUAAAAAUAUAAAAAUACCAUUCUCCAUUAGCUUAAGCUUUUGGAGAAUAACGGUUGUUUCAUUUAAUUUAAUGUGGUAUUAGAACAGGAGGUUCUAAGUUCGAGUCACGCCAGACUACUAGCAUAAUUGAUUUCCUCCUAUUUAAUUCAAGUUCACAUCAUAGGUCUAUCAAAAACUCUCGAACCCAGAUGUGAGGGAGAGUGUUCGAUAUAAAAAUAUUAUUUUCUAUUAGCUUAAGUUUUUAGCAAAUAACGGUUGCUUCAUUUAAUUUAAUACAACUAAAAAGAGGAAACAAAAGACAAAUAAAAAGAGAUAUGGAACUUAAAACGAUUCAAACUCACGGCCUCCUACUUUGUUAGCAUGUGAAACAGUUGUUUGUCUCUGAAAGAUUAAGCUAAUGUAGAGUGGUGGUUUAAUAUCUUAAACUCACCGACCGUCCCUAGAGCAAGUGGCAAAGGGCUUGGUGGUUGGUACCCAAGACCCAAGUUCGAAUCCUAGUUGAUUCACAUUUCCAGCUAAGUUUACUUCUAAAUGAAAUAAACGAAGCGGGUAGCGUGCUAUCUAUCUCUCUCAAAAAUAUAUAUAUAUAUAUAUAUAUAUAUAUAUAUAUAUAUAUAGGCCAUGGUUACUAUACUAUUAUGAGUAUUGGACCCCUACUUCAUAAGUUGUUCUCAAUGAUAGACCUUCCGAAUCGACGAUCCACUCGUUAACAUGAAUCUAGAGUAUUUGAAACUUCUAACAAAAUAAAUUUCGUGAAUUUUCGAAAUCAUAAUAAAGUCCAUCAAGUGGGCAUAAAAUGAACGGUCAAAUCAAUACCGUUUAAACGCUAUUUACAAGCCUAUAUUUCGUUAAAUUUUUCAUCCAAUGUUAUAACCCUAUAUAUAUAUAUAUAUAUAUAUAUAUAUAUAUAUAUAUAUAUAUAUAUAUCUUAUAUAUCUUAAACUCCAAAAUUUCUAAUUCCGGUUUACCAACUUCUACUAAAAGUAUUAGGAAAUUAUUUUUAGUACUUUUCAAUAAAAUUCCUAAUUAAGUUGGCAAAAACAUUCAAUAUAAAAAAUUAGAACUUAACAAAUAUCAAUGCAAAAAGAAAUUUAAAGUCGAAAGGGCCACUUCAAAAUAGUUUACAGUUCAGAAGGGUCUCCUCACAAUUAACCUAAACAGGGAUGGCAUAUGUUUCCCUCGUUUUAACGAUCAAAUAUAUCCUUCUUAAGCUAACAUUCUUUUUUCCUACAAAAAAACCAAUCUACCGUGGAAAUUUUAAUUUUUUAAAUUUUAUUCAACAUUUAUUCCAACUAUUGUAUCAUUCUACGUGAACCCUAAAUUAUAAAUCCUGGAUAUAAUAGCAAAAAUUAAUCGUGAACGACGAAAUAAUCAACCUAUAGGUAUAAAUGUACAUAAUUUUGAGCGGUAAAGAAUACAUUUGAUAAUUAAGAUUUUGCAGGAACAAAUCCACAACUUCAAAAUCUUGCAGGAAUACACAUGAAAUUUAUCAAAAAAUAAAAGAAAAGAAAAAAAAAUACCAAAUGGAGCAUUUGAGCUCGGUCUCCAUCCUCCGUAGAUGGUGGAAAAACGGGCUCAAAAUUCGAACCAAUUCCUCGCAUUUCGCCAUUUCCAAACCCCUCUCCCCACAACCCAAAAACACAAAAAAAUAAAUAAAUAAAUAAAAUCGCGAGAGCACUCGAAAGGUCGAAAUGUAGAGAGAGAGAGAGAGAGAGAGAGAGAGAGGAGGAGGGUUUAUGUUAAAAGUUUCAUUUUGAAGCGGGUUUAUCCGAGUACUAUUUUAUAUUUUAAUAAAGUAGGUUUGUACCUUUGAUUGGAUCAUGACACGUGGACGGAUAUGAUUCGCCAGAAGCCAAACCGUUUUUGGGAAAUUUUUUUUAAAAAAAAAGAUGGGAUAUUUUUUUGCCACCAAGUUUUAUUUUUUUGUACUAAAAAAUUUUUUAAAAAAAUUUAAAUAUCAUUCUUGUAAUUACGUAUUUUUUUAUUUUAAUAUUAUAUUUAUAAUGAAUCAUUUUCAUAUAGGUUCCGUUUUUUUUUUUCUUUAUGAUAUCUCUUUAUUAAUUUUUUUUAUUAAAUCGGUGACAAGAUUAAUACCAUAAAAUACUAAAGUAAAAUUGGAUAAAUCGUAUGAUCUAAAAUAAAUAUUCGAUAAAUUAUAUGUAAAAUAUCUAAAAUUUUUUAUAUAUAAUUUAACGAAGAGAUAACGUAGGCGCUGACGAAAAGAAUAAAAUAAAGCCGCAGGGUGCUAAAGUGAUACAGUUUAAAUCACAAAAUAUUAAAGUGAAAAAGCACGAAACAUAUCGGUGGUAUUUAAUAUUUAUCCAAACUUUUAUGUACCACAUUAUCUUAAUUAAUUUAUUAUUUAUUGGAUAUAAGUUUACUUUGUACAUUGGCUAGUGAGGCUAUUCUUAUUAUUAUUUUAUAGUGUAAGAGAAAAGUCCAAAACUUUUUGAAAAAACUUCAAAAACCCUACAUGGUUUCGCACUUUUUCAUUUUAGUACCAUAUGAUUUAAAAUAUAUCAAGUUAGUACUAUGUGGUUGCUCACUUUAUCAUUUUAGUACCCUGUGGUUUAAAGUAUAUCAAGUUAGUACUCUGUGAUUUUUUUUUGUAUAGUAUCCUGUGAUUUUAUUUUUAUAUCAAGUUAGUACCCUGUGAUUUUUAAACCACGGGAUACUAAAGUGAUAAAGUGCGAAACCACAGGAUACUAAAGUGAUAAAAUGCGAAACCACAUGGUACUAAGUUGAUACAUUUUAAACUACAUGGUACUAAAGUGAAAAAGUACAAAACUAUAAGGUACUAACUUGAUACACUUUAAACCACAUGGUACUAAAGUGAGAAAAAGUUAAACCACAAGGAGGGUAUUUGAAGUUUUCCCAAACUUUUUUAAGCAAUCUAAAACAGCAAAAUGGGAUACUUAUUUUGCUCCCAACAUUUUCAAACAAGGCCCUUUAAAUGAUUUAGUUUUUCUUAGAAUAAAAAAGAACUUAAAAUUUGUGUGAAAAAUUAGAAACUUAAGAAAUAACAAGUGUGGGCUGGUUACUAAUUUUUUUUAGAGAGAUAGGUAGCAUGCUAUCUGUUUCAUUUAUUUUAUUUUAAAAAUAAACUUACCUGAAAAUGUGAAUCAAUUAGGAUUCGAAUUUGGAAUCUCAGAUACAAAUCAUCAAAUUUUUUGCCACUUGCGCUGAGAAACAGUUAGUAACUAGGCAAAUGGUUAAAAUGGGAAAUGGUGGUUGUAGGUUUCAUGGAUGUUUGAUGAGUUAGGUCAUGGUAAAAAAAGUGAAGUGAUGGUUUCUUUAAUUUGGUUUAAUUAUUAGGUGCUUGUAUGUGACGGAAAAAACCACUAAACCAGAAUUUUGCCUAUAAAGAAUUUAAAUAAUUUUUUAAAUUUUAUUCAAUAAAAUUAUAGCAUUAGGUCAAAAAAAAUUUAGCUCAUACGAAUCGUAGGCUUCAUGGUUUCGUUUGAAAUUACGGAGAAAUUAAAUUAAGUACAGAGAUAAAAUAAUAUUACGUUUCGCAUAUCGUAAUGAAUCAGUUAUAAUAAAUUUUUUAAUAGAAAAAAAAAUAAAGAAGCCUAUUAUGUUUUUGGUUUAAUUAUUAAGUGAUUGCAUGUGACCAAGGAAACCACUAAACCAGAAUUUUACCUUUAAAAUUUUAAAUAAUUUUUUAAUUUUAUAUUAAUAAAAAUUAUAGUAUUAGUUAAAAAAAAAUUUUAACUCGGAUAGAUCUUAGACUUCGUGAUUUCGUUUGAAAUUGUGGAGAAAUUAUAUUACGUAUAGAAAAAAAAAAUAUUGCGUACCAUGUACAUAACCAGACGGUUACAAUAAAAUUUUUUACUGUUCCAUAAAAAAAAGAGAAAACUUCAAAAACCCCCCUGUGGUUUCAUAGUUUCUCACUUUGCCCCCCUGUGGUUUAAAAUGUAUCAAUUUGCUCCCUUGUGGUUUUUUUUUCUCUUUUUCUUAUCAAUUUUAUUAUUUUUUUUUUCUUAAAUCAGUGAUAAAGUUAAAAUUAAAAGGUACUAAAGUGAAUAUUUGAUAAAUCUAGAUGGAUAUCUGAAGUUUUUUUGUAUAUAAUUUAAUAAAAUAUUAACGAAAAAACUAUCGAAAAGAUAAAAACGAAACCACAUGGGGCAAUUUGAUAUAUUUGAAACCACAGAGGACGAAGUGAGAAACUACAAAACCACAGGCAAGGUGUUGAAGUUUUCCCAAAAAAAAAAAAACCCUCAUAUGCUCUAUUUUUCAACUUUACUUUAUCAGUUAGUGUUGGGCUUUUUUUCAAUUUAGGCCCCGGCAAAUUUUUAUUUUAAAAAUAGCCCUGUCAAAAUUUAAUUUGCAAAAAUAGUUCUGGCCUUGCAACGCAGGUGCCACGUCAGCACCACGCGGCUAGGACUGGGGUCAGUGUGUUAAGUUGAACACGGUGAACCAUUCACCGUGUUCAAACACGGUGAAUGAUUCAUCAUAUUUCAUAUUUAUAUUUUUUUUCUUCUCUUUUAGGGAUGUCAACGGGUCGGGUUUGAAUCGGAUUUUUAAAAACCCGAAAUCGAAUCUGAAAAUCAAAUUAAAACCCGAACACGAAUCCGAGUCCUGCGGGUUUUAAAAAUCCAUACCCAUAUCCAUAUAUUAAAGUUAUAUGGGUAUGGAUUUUUAAAACCCGCCGGGUUCGAAAAUCCAAACCCGACCCAUUGAUAUCCCUAGGAAUAUUAUAAAUAUGAAACACGAUGGGAAUAUAAAUAUAAAACACGGCAGUGUUUGAACACGGUGAAUAACUCACGGUGUUCAACUUAACACGCUGGCCCCUGCCCUGCCCGCGUGGCGCUGACGUGACGCUUGUAUGGCAGGACAGGACCAUUUUUGCAAAUUAAAUUUUGAUAGAACUAUUUUUAAAAUAAAAUUUUUUCAGGGGGCCAUUUGCAAAAAAUGCCCUCAGUUAGUGUUAGGUAACAUCAAUGCCAAACGGGACCUUAUAUAUAAAUAUAGUAUUUGUAAAACACGAAAUGUUUACUUCCCCAUUGUUAUCAACAAUAUAACAUCCGAAUUAAUGACUAGUUUCAUUAAAUAUUAUUUUCGCUAUUUAAACUUUUUAAAAUUAAAUUUUAUAAUUUUACAAUAUCUAUAUGCUUAGUGAUCAAAUAGUGUCAAAUUCAUCUUAUAUAUAUUUAGCCAAUAAAACUUAUCAAAGUUUAAGCCACUUAGAAACUAGACAAAUAAUUCAAAAAUUAUAAAAAGUUAAAACUUAAAAGAUUUAAAAUUUCAAAAUAUAUUUAACGGUAUCGAUCAUCAAUUCAGAUGCCUCGUUCAUAAAAAUAAACGCCAAGGUAAACGACCUCAUAUUAGGCAAGUUAUGUACGAGAAAUUCUACACUGUUACACUUGCACCACAUCAUCAAUAACAAACCAAUCACAUUCAUUUUUUCAAACAAAAGUACAAUAAAAAUACUUUUUUACAAUCAUGAUGGGACAUAUAUUCUUAAAAGGAUUAAUUUGAUUGGUUUGUUACGCCACGUCACUAAUAUACCCGUUGCAUUCUAGAAUUUUUCGUUAUGUACACAUAUAAUUGUCAUUAUUGACUACCAUUGGCAUCAAUGUUACUAUGAACUUGUUUAUUUAAUACAGCAUUAAUCUAAAAAUUAUAUGUUCAUAUGUACCUUAUGACAGUAUGAAAGAAGGAAAAGAUUAAAAAAAAAAACAGAGAAAAGAAGAAAAAAAAAAAACUUUCAAAAAUUAUCACUUGAGUAAAAAUAUAUAUAUAUAUAUUAUAUUUUUUUAAGGAAAAACAAUAAUGUGGAGAUGCAAUCACUUAUUUUCUGCACUCAGAGAGAUAUAUAGAUCUUUACAAAUUAAUGCACCCACCCAUCAUACCACUAAAAGCCCUACAUACAAUAUCAAGUCAAUUACUCAGUUGGCUCAAAGCUUGCUACAAUCUUUAACAUCUAGAGAGAGAGAGAGAGAGAGAGAGAGAGAGAGAGAGUAUUAUUAACCCAGCAACAGACAGAAAUGAGGUUAUUACCCGCCAGCCGCCGUCAUGAAUUAAUCAGCAGAAGAGGGACCACUUGCAGACAUGCAGAACAAGAGUAGGGCGAAGAGAAAGCCGAGCAAAAGAAACCGACGAUAUCUGAAACAGAGAGGAUCGAUCAUCUCUGCGGAGGCUCCAACGUCCGCACAUUUGGGCCCGUCAUUCCCUCGAGCCUGUCUUUGGUUAUCUCGACAAAGUGACCGAUCAUUUCGUAGAACUGCUUCAGACCGGAUAAGGGAAGGAUUAUAGACGAGCGAUCUGCUCCGGCCACCUACAAGCAUUUAAGUAAGAGCUGAAGAAAAGAAAAGAAACAGUAGACAAGGAGAGACAAACAGAUCCCCCAACACAAUCAAAAUUUGAAUUUCUGAUUGCCACUUCCUCAAUUUGUUAACAGAAAUUUCAAUUACCAGGUCAGUGAUGUACCUCGGAAAUCCUCAGGAAAUGGCCCCGGUUGUUGCUUCCCAAAUCAAAGUAGAACCGCUUUUGAUCAGCGCGAAUAACUUUAGAUAAACCCGAGUUCCCGACUUCAUCCUGCGGGGGCAGUUCGACUAUUCUUUCCACGUUCAAGUCCGAACCUGGAACUGCAGGAGAACUGCUGUGGCCGGGUAUGAAACCGGCACCCACAUCAUCUGAGAGCCCCGCAAGGUGCUCUGGAGGUUCCAUAUGUUGCUGCUGCUUUUCAAAGAGGAAACGUGGUCAUUACAUCAGGAUGCAACUGCGCAACAUUAAGGACGAGAAUAGGAGAAAUUUAAUGUGAAAUUACCUGAUUGGGUACGAUGUAAAGCCGCGAGGCUUCCUCAUUUAUUUCCAGUAAAAUGUUUCGAAAUGCAGCCCAUCCUUCUUCGCCGGAGCUUCCUGCAGGAACAAUGAUUGUACUGCGAUUUCUGUUAGCGGAUGCUUCGGACACCUAACAAGAAAAACAAUUUAUUAGCUGUUCCGAACGCACUCAGUUGACCAUAUGAGCCAAAACAAAAUAAGAUAAUUCUCAGCAAUUCCAAAUAGGAAACCAUUAUCACAUAAAUGUACAUUAACAUAUUGAUAUAAGAAUACAAGAUAUUUGCUUCCUCAGCAAGUUUCGGCUGCAAAAAGGGAUCAUUAUAUUGCCUAGACAGAGAAAUACUCGACCAAAGACUACCCAUUAGAAAAUGAAACCUGUCCAAUAUCAACAAAAAUAUUCUAAAUCCUCCCUCAGCGUUGACAUCACUAUUUGAAUGUGAUUUUCUACUCUAAUGUUCCGUUCUUAAAAGUCUCCAAAAAAUAAAGGGUCGCUACACCUCAAAAUCCAUGAGUCUUCCGUAAUCUUCCAUGAAAGCCAUUUGAAAGAAGAAAUGCCUGGAAAUUUAGGAGUUUCCAAGGGGCCUAGAGCUUCUUGAUAUCUUUUACACUUUCACUAUAAUUUUUCCAAAAAAAAAAAAUCCCAAAUAAAACUUCUAAAUAAAUAAACAGAUCAGCCAUCGAUCUGCAUACAGGCAUAACUAUUGUUGCUACUUGUUUAAAUAAACCAGAUCUUACAAUUCCUUUUUUUUUUCUACAUUACCAAUGAAAGCACCACCAGCAAAGAUAUCGACGGCCAAAAAUAUGAUGUGGAUGCACCACGUGGUAAAAGACACAAGGUCUAAAGCAUCUAUAAUGCAGUUGUGAAAGGAUUGUGGCACCAAUUAAACCAGUCCUACGGAGACCUGCAUGCUAAGCUCUCUCCCUUAACACCCCACAACCAAACCAAAGAAAAAAAAAGGAAAAUAAGAAAACAAAAUUCCUACACCGACUAACCUCAUCCCAAGCCUAAGUAGGCACAAUUCUCUACCUCUGCAAAACAUUAAGCUGAUAACAUGAUGCAUGAAUAAGCAUAUACAGCAUAGGUGUGGGGGGGCUGGACUAAUGUUUCCGUAUGAUUAAUGGACUACAAUCAGCUUUUUGCAAAGGCUUGCUUUUAUAAAUAAACCGGUCAAAAAGUUCAAUCAGCGCCCUUUAUGUAAUCCUCCUAAACUAAAUAGGCCUGCAGUUAAACAGUACCGUUCAUAACCAGCAAUCCAAAACAUUUUAGAGUUUUGAGCAGCUAAGAUUUUUACAUACGUUGUGAAACAGGCUCCUUUUACAUAUUGAACAAGUAAAUGUAGCCACUGAGAUAACAAAACCAUUAAAGUUAUUGUUUCAAAAACAGCAAUCAAAUUCUCGAGAUUGCGCAUCCCCUAGAUUUUCUAUGUGAUAUGGAUCAUAUAGGAAUCCAACUUUCUUAAGAUUAGCAUCCAAUAUCGCAUAGGAUCACUUAGGAUCGCGUAGGACUGCAAUCAUCCCAAAAUUCUACUCUUACAUAUUUUUCAUACAUAUCAUGGGUACUUAUACUGGCCCACAACACUUCAGAAAUAUUAAUAUAUAACAUUGAGCGAUUCAAAUUUAUAUAUUUUGAAUCAAGCAAUUGUCACUCGUGCUCACCUUUGAAUAAAAUUUGUUAAGAAAAUAUCUCUUUCUUGCAUUAUAAGAAGACAUAUAAGCAGCUAAAUACGACCUCGGAAGCCUAAUACAUUUAAUAAUUGGAAGUCACAAAGGAGUAAAUUAUUAUUCUUUUAUCACAACAUAUAAUCCAAGUAAAUAAUUUGAACCAUUGAUCCGUUACUCACAAAUCCAUCAUUUAGGGGGUGUUUGGUUUCCCCAAAAACAUCCCAACAAUAAAUUUUUGGCCGGAGAAAUAUUUUUUUCUAAGAUUUUACGGAAAAGUAGUGUUUUUGUUAUCCGAAUUUUUUAUCCAGAUAAAGAAAACUGUGGAAAAGAGUAGUUUCCAUGGAAAGCUUUUAUUCUCAUAGCAUCCCAUACGAAAGCGACAAAGGAAAAAAAACAACAUAAAUUAACAUUCCGCAGAAAACAACCAGAGUUAUAUACCUUCAAAAAGCGGCCUCUUUUGUUCUCGCCGAUGUCAAAGUAAAACACCUGCAAUCAACUACAACAGAUUAAAAUCACAACACUGCGAGUGAAAAAAGAGCUCGGAAUUGGAUAUUUCGCAUCUCCCAACCUUGGUAUCGAGCUUGAGCUCCUUGCUAAACGCAUCGCGCUCGUCGGUGUUGAUGUAGUAAUUGAAGAGAUCGAGGAACCAAACGAUGCCAUUCACGGGGACGAUAAUGGUGGAUCUGGUCGCCGAGGUCUUCUCGGAGAUCUUGAGGUACCUGCCGCGAGGGUUCUCCUUGAGAUCGAAGUAGAAGAGCUUGUGCUCGAACUGGAGCGUCUUGCACACGAGCUCCACGUCGUUCCCCCCCGAUCCUCCCACCUCCAUCGCUGCAACCCCACGAAGAGCCCUAGAAACCCUAGAUCCCCUGGGCAAGACGACGGCUCCUCGAGGGCGAUCGAAGGAGAGGGGUCGCGGGGGCUAAUUAGGGUUAGGGUUAGGGUUUGGGGCCAUGAGGUUUGACCCGGGGCCAUCGCUCGCGCCCGUCGCGGUCGCCUUUUUAAAUCGAUCUCCUCCGAAAGAGUCGGAGAUUUUUUUUUUUUUUCCUUUUUUACCUUUUUUCACCCCCUUUAUUUUCCCCCAUUUUUUACGAGGCUGCGGCGCGAGGGGUUUUUUACAUAUUAGUUUUUUUUUUUUUUUUUCAACCAAUCACCAACUUGCGCGCGCGGGCGCGGGGAACGACUCGGAGCGCCGGGUGAGCUAACGUGCGCACGUGGUGGUUGGGCUCGGGCCCAACAAAUGGGUUCAGACCACGUAAUUGGGUCAAAUUAUAAUCUAGGACUCAAAGUAACGUUGGACUGGGCCGUACUAGUAAUUUCGAUUUGGCUAUUUUUCUUUUUUUAAAAAAAAAACAAUGCUCUGCUGCCCCGUGAACUUUAAACUGAUCGUAGUUUGGCACUUUGGAGUUUGCAAAGUUUAAAUUAGGAAAAAUUUCAAAUACCAUCCAUGUGGUUUAGCGCUUUUUUAUUUUAAUAUCUUGUGGUUUAAACUGUAUCAGUUUAGUUGUUUUUGUUUUUCUCUUUUUAUUAUUUUUUUUGCUAAUCUUUUAGUUAAAUUAAUGAGAAAGUUAACACUAUAGGGUACUAAAGUAAAAAAUUUCGUAAAUCACCGAAUACUAAAAUGAAUAUCCAAUUAAGACUUUUUUUUCUAUAUAUUUUAAUGGAGAAUACUAAAGUGAGAAAACAUUAAACUACGGGAGGAUAUUUAAAAUUUUCUCUUUAAAUUAUUUACAAGACUAGCCAUUACAAACAAUCUAAACUAUUCUAGUCGCAAAAUUUCAUAAUUUUUCGAUAUUAUUUUAUUAUAAUAGCUAAAUUGAUGUUUUUCAAUGACAAAUAUUAAGUGAAUUUAAAAUCAUUUGAUAACAAGAUUAAUGAUGCACAUGAAAUUAUAAAAUGUGAUUUCUAUAAUAUUUAUCAAUGCGUGUCAUUAAUUCAGAACCUCAGACCAUUUUUUUUUUCUUUGUUAGAAAAGAGAAAAAGAAAUAUAAUAUAAAGCACCAAGCAAAAAUAUAAUAUAAAGGAAAAAAGAACAAAUAAAAUCCCAAAACCAACAGAGAGAUGCAUGUAACGAACGAAGACCAAACCUAAAUAAAUAAAAAAUUAAGCAAAAAAAAAUAUAAAAAUAAAGCAACAACUGGUUUCCAAAUAAUAAAGCCACAUUAAAAUAGAAAUAUCCAGACAAAAUUCUACACUCCAGGUGCUCCAUAAACUCAAUUCUAACACUAAAAAGAGAGUAUCUCAGCCAUGUUUUCUCGCGGUGUCGGCGAUAAAACCAAGCAAUUAAGGCAAUUUUAGUCUUAAAAAGAGCAACUGGCUAAUGAAAUACUAGGGGACGCGGUAAAGCGCGGAUCGAGCGUUUCAGCGUUUCCCGCCGCCGCCGCCGAGCUUCGGGCCUUUGGGAGCCUUGGGCGCGCUACCCUUUGUCUGCGUCUUCUGAGAUUUCGCCAUCUGUUCGGCCUUCUUCGAUUUCUUCUCCUCCUUCGUCUUCUUUAUGCGCUCCUUGAUCUCACUGUCGAAUAGGAACACACUGUAAGGUACUCGAAGAGAAAGGAAUAGAAUAAUGAUUCGCAUAUAUAAGAACGAUGAGAAUGGAUUGAUGUAGCAAAGAGAAAUGAAAGAUGCUGGAACAAAAUCUUAAUUUAUACACAACAAUGGAGCGGUUGAGCUUAAUGAUUUUCAAGUCAAAUGUUUUUAGAGUUUUCUCGUGGAAUUUUUAUUACCAAGGAAACAAUAAGAGCAACGAGUAAGGGAAGAGAACUGUACCGAAGAGCAGCUUCUCUAGCUGCAUCACGAACUUCAGCCUUCUCGGUUCUCUUCUUUUGAAUAACUUCAAGGGUGGCGCCGACAAUCGACCUCGAAUAUGGCUUCUUGGUGGUACGGCGCCUCUUUUUGACAGUUUCAGCGUGAAUAUCCUACAGACAUAAGUUCAAAUCAUCACAAUCCAUCUGGAUUACAUUAAUGCAGCUAUAAUACAUCAGAACUGCAUGGCAUUGCCGAAACAAGUAGAAGAAGUGCUACAGUUCAAUUAUAGAUAUAAGAAACAAAGGAGCUAUUUAAGGUUACAGAAGCUUCUCCUCCAUGUACAGAGAUAAAGUAGAAACUGAAAAUUCAUAAAACACAUACAAAGAGAAGUUUUGAAGGCUCAUUAAAGUGCAGAAAUUAGGAACAAAGCAAUGCAUGAAACCAACCUGUUGGAACAAAGCAAUGCAGAUAGUAGUAUUUCCACUUGGUUUAACAUGGUGCAAAUCAACUUCUCAAAAUUUGACUUAAAGAACAUUUAGCAUUAACCAUAAAAAAGAUUCGUAGACUACAUGUUUCAGAAACAUGAAACAAUGAAAACCAGUUAGGCAUACAACUAUUCACACUAAAUAAUGUCAACUUUCAUCGUAGAAUACAAAUAGAAAUAUCGAACUCACGAAGUAGCAUAUCUCAAGUACAACUUUACAACUUUGCCGAGUCAGUAAAAAGUGCAUUUUUAGGUGAGGUAAUACACACAACAACUAAUUAAUGCUCCAAAUAAAUCGCAACUGCCAACGUAGGCAGGCACAUUUGUGUACCAGAGUCAGUUAACAAAAAAAUCUUCUUCAUAAUCAGAUCCAUCAACUUACGCAGCAACUUGAAAAUAAAAGCAAAAGUUUCCACACCCAAAAAAAAAGCACACACACACAUAACCAAAGCGCCACCUUAUAUUUUGCAGGAUUGACCACAAGGAAAAACAUAAAGCUACUAAUGCAGAUUCCCCAUAAGAAAGAGGAAUAGUAGAUGUAGAUAAAGAUAUACAAAAACAUUACUUUUUUGUGUUGCUUCCGAUACAUUGCUGUCCAAGUAAGCUUGGCAGGCUUCAGACGAUUGUGGAAGUACCGUUUGCAUUUCGAAUUAGCAAAAAGAAAAACCUACAUGAAGCAUAAGCAUUUUAGUCAAAAUGGGAUCACAGAAACUCAUGUUCUCCUGCAUGGAUUAAUAACCUUUCAGAAUAAAUUUACCUGGGAAUCGGCUCGGACAAAUCUUAUACCCUUUCCGGGAUAUAUCUUGGCGCCACUGAACCGGCAGAGUUCAGUCCUGCAGCCCCAAAUAGUAAGCUAAUGAAUUAUCCGCUUAUCCAAAUAUCAUAACUAGCCUCGAGUUCGACAGGACAACAUACUAAUGUGCAUUGCAACAUCAAAAAACAAAAGAAAUUGCACAAAGUUCAAUAAAGCAAAAGGAGAUCUUAAAAAUAUAGGGUUAUAUUUCAUAUACAAUCCUGUAAAAUAUAGCUUCUUAUGCCCCUUGAAAGUACUUUCGCUAUUUUUUUUUUCUGAAAUACCCUUAUCUUAAGUUGCAGAGUCAUCCUAUCCUGAGAGGAACUUGGUUUUAUAGGUACAAGGUUAUACAUGUGAGAAAUUAAAUAUUUGAAAGGCCGGAUACGAAAGAUCAUAUAUUUGAUACAUAUAGUAUAUCAAACAAACAUCAGAAUGAAAAAGAAAACAUGACGUAGCAACAACCGAACAAAAUAUUAUGGUUGAAACAUUGCUAAUAAAGAUUAAGGCCACAUUGAACAUAAUAAAGAGGGAUAAAAUGAUAUACGAACAGUCAUGCAAGUAUUAACAAUACAGAAAAAGAAAUAUUUUUUAGAACAGAUGAACGCAAACGUACUUCAGAACCAUCUUCUCGGCCUUUGAAAACCCUCACAACCUUCUGUAAACAAAAGUGGAGAAAUAAAUCAGAAUGUAACAAAUCAAAUCGACAAUAGUCAACAAUAUAACGUAGCAUUCAAAAUUACGAAUGCGCUAACCCAAAAAAAAAAACGAAAAAACAAGAACUUUAUAAGAAUCUACUAUUGAAUAGUCCAACAUAAGCUUACAAUAAUUGCAUCACGUAAUUUUUGGGUUUUUGUUCCGCAUAUCAACCUUCUACAUAUAUCUUAAUGCGAACUAUGGAUACGAUAUUAUAACAAUUAAACACUACUGAAAAAUUCGAUCUAUGUUUCAAAGAAUCCUAACAAAUAUAGAUCUGAACGAAUCAGGUCGAUCAAACCCUGAAAAGUUCGAUGAUUAGAGUAAAACGUAAAAAGUGAAAGGUAAAUCGCUGAUCUCGCAUCCAAUGCGUCGCUGCGAGAUUAAUCGAGAAGUAGAGGAGAAGAGAAAUCGCUGAGCCGUGGAGAAUGGCACCUUUUACGAACCCUAGCCGCGGAAUGGGACGGCGAGGGUUUUUGAGGAAACCCGAGAACGACGAUGCCGCAAAAUGGCUCCGUUGCCGCUUCCUAGGGUUUUUGAGGGCUCAGGGGCUCUUAGAUGGACGGUUCGCGAUCAAUCAGGGUCUGAUUGGACGGAUAGCAUUGCAUGUAACAGAUGUUGCGAUGGUGGGCCGGUUCGGUCGAGCCGGUCCGGCCCGGAACCGCUUUCGGAUCGGUCCAGUUUAAGUGGGCCGCUUCUGGGCUGGGCCUUGCCUGGUGGUGGUCAGUGGCCAUAAAUUUUUUUAUCAUUUGUUUAAAAAAAUUUCUCAGUUAUUGUUAUUUAAUUCUGUAAAUAAAAUUUUCUAUUACUAUUAUAAAAACUGAUUUAGGAAAAAAUAAAUAUCUUUCUACGCUGUAGUAGAUAGUAAAAAGAGUAAUUGGGGAUUGAGAAAACAAUUAAAAUGAAAAGAAAAAAAUCAGAGAGUAAACACCGAGUUAUAUCUUUUCUCAUUCUUCGCAACAUACAACUAAGUCUUACAUAUUCCACUCCAACCAAAGAAAAAAAAAGAACUGCAAACUAAGCCAACAACAUAGAUAUUGUCUGCGAAAAUCAUGAAUACAGAACCAACAUAAUUAAUCAUCUCCUUGGUUAUUAUCAGCAUUAUCAUGUGAACUAUCUUCAGCUAUUGUCAAGGAUAGUCCCAAGAGGUAAUUAGACGAUGGCAGGUUCGAUUAGGGCAAACCCCAGCAAUCAAGUUUCACCAGAUGUGGUUAUAUUUCACAAAUUAUCUAACAUUCCCCAGUUUGCGCAACAACCAAUUGCCAAUUCCUUUCGCAAUCAGCCUCUUUAGUGUACCAUCAAACUGUGAAUCAGCUUUUGCUGAUGAUUGCAGAUAAGAUGAUAUAUGCUUGAUGCCCAAUUUGAUCUCGCCGGCCCAUGUAACUCUGCAAUUUAAUCAUUAAACGAAAUGACGUGUUAAACGAAAAGAAGGAAAAAACCAAAUUGAAGUUUCCAUGGUCGUAAUGGACAAGUAUGACGGACCUUCGCAAAAAAAAGAAAAAAACAGAUGGUCUCAAUUAAGCACAAGCAUCAGUCUCUACAUCCGAAGGUCCAGAAUCCGCUGACGUUUCAUCAGAUGCUUCUUUCCUCUUCUGUUUGCUGUUAUCUGGAAAAACACAGACAAUAAAAUCAGUAAGUUGUAUAGCCAAGAGUGACAGAAUAAUUCCUUCUAUUUAUUGUUUCAGUUCAUUUAAUUAUAUUUCCAAGUUCCAACUAAAGAUCCUAAUGUUUUGAUUUUGAUAUGUGGUAACAGGUUUCAAGGAUCUAGUUUGGGGUAAUGUAUUUCAUCUCUCAGUGGCUUUAUUACGGAGACCAAGAAAAGGAGAAUAGGAUAUCUUGUGUGAUGAUGUGCCAGGUAUUUUGGUCUUCACUAAAAAAAAAUUUAGCCAAAUAGUCAAGCCCGUAAGUGUACGACAAUUUACGCAAAAUAACUCCUUGUUCCAAUGGCAUAUAUUCAAUUUAACAGAAAUCAGGUAUAUACUUUAAAUAAAGUAAAUUAAAUUUGUCUACAUCGAUUAAAGAAACAGACCUUUUCUAUUGUAUUCUUUAGAACCACUUAUUGAUCUUGUGAUGCACAAAUGAGAAGACUUCAGUGCACAAAUUUUUCCCUUGAAGGGAUUUUAUAUGUUCCAUGUCAACAUGACCACAUUAUGAGAAUAACCGGCUUGCUUUCCUUGAGAACUAAUGAGUAAAACUUUGUGGUCAAAGUUUUGAAAAAGAUAAAUGUUUGUUUGCUGCCAAGGUACGGCAUAAUGUCUAUGCAAUUGGCAGGAGCACAUGGGAACACACAUAGUUCAUGAAUGGCAUAUUAAAAUAUUUUAAUUAGAGCGGAAACUUAGGAAUAUAUAGUUGAUAAAGGAAUGCACAUAGAAAAAAUUAAGAAGAAAACAGAAAAAUUCUAUUAUCAUAUCCAAUUUACGUUUUUUUUAUAAACAGUGAAUAUAUACUAACGCUCACAACAGAGUUUCAAGUAAAAGACAAGAAUAUUAUAGAGCCACCAAAUGAUGAAUUUUCAAAAUAAACCAACAUUAUUCAAAACAUAAAAUUUAAUAAAUGAUUAAGUAGCCAAUCAUCCACAGACAAAUAUUUAUUAUCAUCGGAUUGGAUGCAUGCUACUCAACUUUGGAAGUUCAGAUCAUGUUCAUGAAUUUAAUUAACACGACAUGUUUCCACAAGUCCCAAUAGCAAGGUUUAGCUCAAUAGUUAUUUUUAUUUUUUCGGCAACAUGAACAAUUUAGGUCCUCUGGCAGCUAAACUAUUUUUUUUUAAUUUAAUUGCUCGACAUAUAGAUGAAAAAAAUAAAUGGCAUAGUCUACCUGCUUUGUCAUCAACCUUCUGUGCAACCUUUCGGGCUUUUCGAGAUUUCUUUUGACGUUCGUCCGAUGACUUAGAGAACAAGUGGCCAUACUUUUCGAGCACUCUGUUCUUUUCUUCUAUUAAGCCGAGCAUCUCAUAUGCAUCUGCUGCUUUCCGCACAACUGACUUACUUGGAGGUUUACGAUCAUAUGCUUCUAGCCCUUUGAAGAGCUACAACACAAAAGCAACAGCCUUUAUAAAACUGAAAAAUUCCCAACUUGACAAAAGCUCUAAGUUGUUUCCACUUCCUUUAUACAACUUAUAAGAACAAAGAAGAGUUUUUAUAUAGAAGUAAUUAAAAAGAAGCACCUUCUUCUAUAAAUCUGCUGGAGGAGUCUGUACCUUUACAAGCCUUUCUAGCAUGUUGUUUCGGUAAUAAAUUGAUAGCAUAAGAUCACAGAAGCGCCAUGGCACUGAAUGUAAGUCGUGACUCAUCUUCUUCUCCCAAAUUUUGUGAGCUUCCUCCGCCCUGUUAUCUUUCUCCAAUGCACGAAUUAACUGCUCAUAUGUUCCCAUUGUAGUUCCUUGCCCCUUGCUUAACAUCCAUUUUACAACCUGAAUAAAACAAUCACUCAAGAAUAUACCAGAAGUAGAAGCCAAUUUUAGGACCUGCAAUUCAAUUAACACCUGAACAACUUUAUGCCAUUGUUCCUCCUUUUCAAGAACAAGAAGUGCUUUCUUCAGUGAGCUCAGAGGAAAUGUUUGCUCCCAGGCGACCCAAGCAUCAAGAGUACCAUAAACAGCUUCUUUGGAAUCUUUUAGGUCAAGGAGCUGCAAAUUGAAAAACCUUAGUAGCUGGUUAAUUUUGUGCUACAAGUGUUAUCAAAAAAUAAAUAUUUUUGGUACAUUGUAAGUUAGUUGGAAAGAUCUGUUAGCCAACAUAAUGCAUUUGUUACCUUGGCUGUUACAUAUAUAGCAUCUAAUUGCUACUGUUUCACAGCAAAAAAGGACCUUUUUACACAGAUUGCAGAUGAAUUUGCCUAGUAGGUUUACAGGACCAGGUACACCUAUCUUAUCUUGCGGUAAAUAGAAAGUUUAACAUGAUAAUAGAAACAAACAGUUUCUCAUAAUGAUUAUUGCAAUCAACAAGGUGUCAUCCCAUACUCAUUCUAUUGAGGAAAUCAUUUCAUUGCAGGAUAGAAUUAGCAAUACUAUAUAAAAGCACAUUCGUCUCUGUAAUGAACGUGUGCCCGCGGCAUGCGCACGAGAGAGAGAGAGAGAGAGAGAGAGAGAGAGUUUUGCCAAAUACAUACCGUGUUAACAAGAAAUCUCCUUUUAUCUGUUGAUGUGAUAUUUUUGCCAACUUGUUUGAUGACUGGCUCAUUCUCACUUCUUUGUAUCUGAUUAAUCAUCUCAGCAUUUCUCUGUGGACAAGAAUUCACACAUUUAACCAAUUUCAUCAAAUAAAGUUUAUAAAUAACCUUUAUAGGGAACUGAUUAUAUUUCCCAUAUAAAUAAUAGAGAAGUAGGAAAAAAACAAACAAACAAACAAACACGAUCUUAACACACAGCAAGGAUUAAAAGCUCGUUUGUAUAAUUUAUUGUACAGAAAUUUUGAGCUAAUUGGGACAAAAACUAGUUUUAUUUGAGAUUAUCCAAACAUUUGCGAUUAUCAUAAGAUUUUUCACUUGGCAGAACCUCUGCUGGCAAAGUUGCUUUUGAUCCACGUUGUCCAUAGACUUGGUCUUCCACAACUUCCCUAUAAGCAGAGGACCUAGAUUGAAGAACCAAAGUGCUGGUGACAUAGCUACGGCAACAAAACCUCCCAGCUCCAAGCUGCAAAGAAAUAAUUGAUCAACUGAUUAGGAGAAGAAAUUAAAGGGAACCAACUUGUGAAAUUUAAAAAGGCAAAAAGUAUAAUUUGCAUUUAAUUGACAUCUUUAUACAGGACACAAAAUUUGCAGAAUAAUUUAUAGGUCAGAAAGAUUUUAGUAAUUCAAUCACCCAUCAAUAAAGCUUUUCGGAUGAAUAAGAUAUAUUUUCAAUUUCAUACUUACAAAUCAGUUAUGACGACUACAAUAUCAUACAAUUGACUGCAGGAAUCCUACCAUCAAUAGAUCACUAUCUUUUAGACAUAAAUUCUCCCAAAAAUUGACAAUUUUUCGAAGGAGACGUAAGUCAAUAUUAGUUCAGUUGAAGAGAUAUGUGUGGCAUUCAAUCCAGCGAUAAUAUUAUACUUCUCUAAACUAUCUUAUCCUGUAAUUACUUAAUAUAUUCUUAUACUCUAAACUACAAAUUUAUACUAUAGUUAUUAUAUCAUCAUUGGGAACUAUUCAAGUUCAGUGUAAGUUCACUAGUUCAAAAAACUUACAUUGUUUUCUCCACCACCACCACUCAAAAAUGAGCUCAUUCGCCUAGUUGAUUCAACGCCAUUUUGAUACAACAACUGAGAUCCGUUCCCCGCAAUAACCCUAUCAUUAGAUCACCCACAUACUAAAAUUAGAGUCAAACCUAAAAAAAAACCCUUAAGCUGAUGCACUACCUCAACACCCUCAAACAAAUUACUAAGUUUCAACCGGAAAAAGACCACGACAUGAUCCGACCACAGAAGCUUAAUAUCGUCGAAACAAGACAGAAAAUUCCUUAAACGAUAGGUGUAAUUGGAGUAAAAUGAUGCCACGGAACCACCUGAAUCGAUCGGGCUUGGAGGCAGAGAGGAGAGCGAGGAGCUUCGAGGCACCGCCCAUGGAGGCGGCGCGACGAGGAUGGAGAUGGGCCGCGCCGGCGCCGGCGCCGGCGAGGCUUCCGGCGGUGGGGAGAGCGAAUACGGCGAGGAAAUGGAGGGGAUCGACUAGGGUUUUAGGGGGGAUGCGAGAGAGAGAGAGUGAGAAAGAAAGGUUUGGGUAAUUUCUAUGCGAAGUACCUGUACUAUCCACAUUUUAUAACUUAGUCCAAUACAGUACAUUGUUUGGAGAACCCUCAACUACAAAAUAUUUUUAACGAGAUCCCUCAACUUCAUUUUUUUUUUCCAAUUGACACCUCUCUAUUUUCUGAUUUUUUUUUUUAUUUGAGUUAUUCUAGAAAUUUAACAAAAGUUUUGGUAAAUUUAACAGCCCAAUUAUCUAAGAGUUUAACUAAUAUAGUUUUAUUUGUUUCAUACAAAAUAAAAAUCAUAAAUUUCCAUAAAAUUGUCAAAUUAUUCAGGUGAAAUCGUUUAAUUUAGAAAAUUUAAAAAUUAAGAGGAUUUAGUCUUUAAAAAAUAAUGUUUACUGUUUCAAAAAGUUGCUGGGUCUCCAUGAAAAUAAACAAGUUAUUUUAUUUAAAAUAAUUAAUUUAUAGAAAAAUUAGAUAUUAUUUUCUUUGUUGUUGUUGUAAACUAUUAGUAUGUAUUAAAAUUUGUAACUAAGUUAAAAUUGCAGCGCUGGAUUCGUAAUAUCAGGAUAGUACAAGGACUACACAUAUAUUUUUGGGAAAAGAUUAUCAUGGGCUUAUGGACCGGCCUUAUUGGGCCAGAAAUGGGCCAUAAGGAUCGACAGAACCUUCGGCCCAACUAAUAACAAGAGCCUAAAAUUAUUUGAACUCAAAGCCAUAUUUAGCACUAGGGCUAGCAAUCCAUCGCGUUGUUUGUGUGUCAACUCGUAUUCAGCUCAAAAUAAGUUCGACAUUGAUCGCUCGUUUAAUAAAUGAACCAAACACAAGCUGAAUUUUUUAAAUCAAAAUUUUAACGAGUCAAACAUGAGCUGAGAUUUUGCUCGCUCAUGUUCGGCUCAACCUUUUUUCAACUCGAAAUCUUAAUGAGCCGAACAUUAAUUGGGUCAAUUCGCCCUUAUUCGACUCAAAAUAAGCUCGAGAUCGAUCGAUCAUUUAAUAAAUGAGCCAUAUACAAGCUGAAUUUUUUAGAUUGAAAUUUUGCUCGCUCAUGUUUGGCUUGACUUUGUUUGAGCUCGAAAUCCUAACGAGACAAAAAUGAACUAGGGUCAACUCGCUCGUAUUCGGUUCAACACAGCUCAAAUAUGUGUGCAUAUAUAUUUAAAUGUUGUAAAUUUCUACUGUUCAGAUUUUAGGCCAACUUAAAUAUAAAUAAAUGUAUAUUUUGUACAUUUUAAUUACUAGAUUAAGAUUCUAACUUUUUAACUUUCUUUCAACUUUUCAUCCAAUGGUAACGUUGACUAUUAAACUUGCUGUUUGUGAGCCAACUCGUGUUUGGUUCGUUAAUAAACAAGCCGAGCACGAGCUGGAUUUGGCACUAAGGAUUGGGCUAGAUAGGUUAACACAAAAGGAUUCCAUAGGAUUGGAACUCAAAUUGGAUUGGACAAAUAAUAAUACAAUCUAGUGUUUGAUACUCUCCAAAUAACUUAUAGGAUUGGAUUAUUCAAUAAAAUUUCAAAUUUAUACCUACAAUCGUAUUCAUAAUUUUAAUUUUAAAUUUGAAUGGGGAUAUUUAAGUUUGAAUACAAAGUUCAACUUUAAAUUAAAGGUCAAAAAAACAUCUAAAAUUAAAAUUUGAAUUAAAACUCAAAAUUUUGAAUAUUUUUAUUUUUAUUGUUCAACACUGUUGAACUUACAAACGUAUCACAUUCGCCAUUCAAAUAGUUAUUUUUAAAACUCUUUAAUCACUUAGCAAGUGAUGUCGACAAUUUAUAAAAUUUGAUUUCUAAAUAGACCUAACAGUGUAAUCAAGUUUAACGAAAUCGGUCGCUGAAUUAGAUGUUUCAUCAUAAAAAAUAAUUUAAAAGUACGAAAACCUCCAUACUCCUAAAAAUAUGUAUUCAAAGCUAAAAAAAAAAUUGAACCACAAAAUAACAAUUCCAAUAUUGCUAGUUUUCUUCAGUAAAAAUCAAACUUGUCAAUAAUAUAUAUUCUAGUGGAAAAAGCUGUUACAUAGUUAUAAUUAUUAUUUUUUUAAUCAACUCUAUAGCAAAGUACUUACCCUAGGACAUAAAGUUUGAGCUGGACCAAACUAAUUAAUUAGUCCCCCAAUUAUAAAUUAUAAUAAUAAUUAGUAAGAUAUUACUUCUAAACCCUGACCUUAACCAAAAUUUCCUGCUUUUUUUCUUUGCUUCCACUUAUUUAAUUAUUUCGCCACUUUUGUAAUCCCUUAUUUUGAUAGCCUACCAGGCGUCGCGCGUAUACCUUAAACAAGUCUCUAAUCAUCUCAAGAACGAGACUUAAUUUCCGACAAAAAAUUGCACGGUGACCACCGACCGUGAUUAAGUUAAUCUUAAAUAAACGCGACAAAAUCAUCGAAGUGAUUAAAGUGUUAGGAAUAAUUCUAUAAUUUUUCUAAGAGAAUGAUGGUUCAUCAACUUCUACAAUCUUAUAUGUACACUAAGUAGAGAACUCGAUCCAAUUGUAGUCACAUGUACUUCGAUUUAAUUACCUUAAAAGCACACUUUAACUAGUUUAGUGAAAUUAGAAGAUGCCCAUCUAAUAACUAAUUAGCUUUUGUUCUAUUAUAUUGAUGUAGAUCACUUAAUUUGCAUUAGUUACCAAAAGAAAUCCUAUUAUUGCAUGUUUUUUGCCUUUAUGGUGGAAUAAAUUAAUAGUGCUCACUAGAGUACUUAAAAAAUAAAAAAUAAAAGAAUGUAUAACAUGGCAUGUUUUCUACAAAUGCAUGUAUGUACUUGAAUGAAUAAUAUAAUGUAGUUGAUAAAAACAAAUCUAGUUUACAACACUAAAGUUGCUUUAUUCUUGUUUUGGAUUUUAUAUGUAUAAUAGGGGCUUAAUUAGGGCUAGGUUAAGCUUGUGAUCAAGUCCUUUUUUCUUGUUUUCUUUUUUUUAAAAAUUCUUACCACUUUUUGGAGUCAAAAAUGGCUGCAAUUAAUUGUAUAGAUAGAUGACUUAAAUAAUGCUUAAUUUGUAGAACCCUUUUUUAAGUACUUUGGCUUUAUCCCUUAUGGUUGUUUAGCACCAUUCUUUUGUGACACAUGAUAAUAUAUAUUAGAGAGGGAACAAAACAAUUUAGUGUUAUAACAAUAAAGUAAUUAAUAUGAUAAUGUUACACAUGCAAAAUCAAAAGAAACCAGGUUAAUUAAUUUAAUAAAUAGCUCUUAAUUAAUUAGCUAGGGAAUAUUGUCUAGCCCAACUAAAAUUUCCUUUUUCUGUACAUCAAAAUUGUUUGUAUCGCUUUCGUAGAAUAUUCAGAAGUUUCAAAUUAGAGAUUUUAAUUUUACUUUUUUAUUAUUUUUAUUUGUUAUAUUAUACUAAUUUUUUUUCAAAUGCACCAUUAAUAUUUUACCAAUUUCUACACUGUAUUUUAGAUUCAUUUUUAUUUUUCUAUCUGGUACUAACUUUUUUUCUCAUAGAUAUCAGUAAACUAUUUUCUUACCGAUCUCUAUAUUAUUGUUAAUAAACUCAUUAUAUUAGACAAAAUCUAACGACUUUAUUAAGAGGUACUAGUUUAAUAGUAUAAAACAUACAAAAUAAAUCUUCGUGAUAGACUCAUUGAAAACCUCUAUUAAAUUAUUUUCAAUUCUUUUUUGUUAUUUUUAUAUGUUUUCUAUUUUUUAUAUUAAAAUGAGUUAAAUGUAUGCACUACCGCUUUUAACCAGUAAUUUUUAACAGCUUUCCUGCAUAUAAAAUUAUUAGUUUAUUAUUAAAAAAUAAUAAAAUGAUUAAGCAAUCAAUAAAGUAUUUUCCUAUCCGCCGGUUAUUUUUAUAAAUUUAAUUAGUAUAACUCAUGCAAUCCUCGCAACAAUAAACUAAAUAAAGUAAGCAAUUAACUUAAAUUUUAAAGUCAAACUAUAGUUUACUAAUUCAAUUAAUCAAACAAAUUGGAAGGUAAAACGAUAAAAUUAAAAUUUUGAAAUUUAAGUUACGCACAUUUUUUAUUUUAUUUUUUAGGCUAAAUUAUAUAAUUUUUUUUUAAAAUACCCAAUUUUUAACUUCCCCUCCUUAACUUUUAAAAUCUUAUAUUUUACUCAUUCAACAUUUCAAAUUAUUGUAUUUAGCCCCUCUAGCUCUGAUAAGGUCCCACCUCUAUUCCGUCCUUUUUUUUAAAUUUAUAUCAAAAAUACCUUUCAAAAUAACAAUAAUAUAUUAAUAAAUAUUUUUUUUUAUACAAUAGGUAAACACAAUUUGGUUAUUUCGCCCACUUCAUUAACGCCGCGCUCUUCCGAAAAUAUUUUUAAAAUUUUAAAAAAUAAAAAUAUAAAUUUUUGAAAGUCAAAACAAAAAAAAUAGAAAAACGGAUAUUAAGAAGAAAUUUUCUAUAAUUUAGAUUAAUUUUUGAAAAAAAUACUUUUUUUUUUUGGUGGGCCCCAGCACCCGCACGUGCCUCAAUCCCCCGCCCACGUGACUGCAGGAGCCGUUAUCUCUUUCCUCCACUGCAAAAAAAUAUUUGGUGUCAGAAAAAGUUUUGGACUCUGGUGAGAGGAAAAAGAUGAAAAUUUAGAAUAAAACGCAAGCGUGUGAAACAAGAUAACCACUCCGAUCGAUUCCCCCACUCAAAUAUAUAUAAUAUAAUAAAGUAAAAUAUAAUAAAAAAAUUGUUUCAAACUUUGUUGGACUUGGUGAAAUAACAUAGUAAAAACAUCAUCAUCUCAAUACUUUGUUGGUAUUAUAAUUUGUUGGAAAAACUUUAAAAAUCCCCCCGUUGUUUCGUAGUUUCUUAUUUUGGCCCCCUGUGGUUUAAAAUGUAUCAAUUUGUCCCCCUGUGGUUUUGUUUUUCUCUUUUUCUUAUCAAUUUCAUUAUUUUUUUUCCUUAAACCAAUAAUAAAGUUAAAAUUAAAGGGUACUAAAGUGAAUAUUUGAUAAAUCUAGAUGGGUAUCUGAAGUUUUUUGUAUAUAAUUUAACGAAAUAUUAACGAAAAAGCUACUAAAAAGAUAAAAACGAAACCACAGGGGGGCAAAUUGAUACACUUUAAACCACAGGGGGGGCAAAGUGAGAAACUACGAAACCACACGGGGGUUUUUGAAGUUUUCCCUAAUUUUUUUCUUUUUUUCUUUUUUUUCUUUUUUUUUGAAGGUUGAAGUUUUUUUUUUUGGCUCAAUUAUAGAAAAGUUUUAUAUAAAUAUCUUUUUUUCUUGAUAUUCAAAAAUUUAUAUUUUAUCUGCUUAAAAAUUUAAAAAUAUUUUUAAUAAUGUACGACAAAAUGACUAGAUUUUAAAUAUUCAAAUUUAUUUUUAAUGGAAAGGGCAAAAUGACUAGAUUACCCUUACUUCUUUUAUAAAAAAAAAAAUAAUUUUUAAAUAUAUUUCUGUCAUUUUUAAAAAUAUUUUUCGUAUGAAUUAUGAGAAAUAGAUGAAUUAGUGAUGGAACCCUAACGAGGGGGGAGGCUAAAUGCACCGACUUAAAAUUUUGAGAGGUAAAUACAGGUUUUUUAAAGUUAAGGAGGAAAAAUAAAAAAAAUCGAAUAUUUAUAAAGAAAUUUCUGUAAUUAGCCUUCUUUUUAGGUAAAUUAUAUUUGCAUCCUCAAACUAUGAAAUGCGUGGUAUUUUUGUCCUCAAAUUUUAAUUUAUUUAUAAUUUUUGGUUCGAAGAUUUUGAAAUAUUAUAAUCAAGUGCUGCAAUCCAAUUCAGUUAGUAUAAAUAUAUAUGUAACCACUGAAUUGGAUUAUGUGACUUGUAAUAAUUUAGAAAGAUAAAACAAAAAAUUUUAAUAAAUUAAAAUUUGAGAACCACAGUACGACGGGACUAAUAGUUUGAGGGCCAAAAGUGUAAUUAAUUUACCCUUUUUUAUUUUUCACCCUUUGAUGUAAAUUUUGUGUUUCUUUUGGGGAAAAUUUCAAAAAACCCCCUGUGGUUUCGUAGUUUCUCACUUUGCAUCCCUGUGAUUUAAAAUGUAUCAAUUUGUCCCCCCGUGGUUUCUUUUUUCUCUUUUUCUUAUCAAUUUCAUUAUUUUUUUUCUUAAAUCAGUGAUAAAGUUAAAAUUAAAGGGUACUAAAGUGAAUAUUUGAUAAAUCUAGAUGGGUAUCUGAAGUUUUUUGUAUAUAAUUUAAUAAAAUAUUAACGAAAAAGCUACCUAAAAGAUAAAAACGAAACCACAGAUGAGCAAUUUGAUACAUUUUAAACCACAGGGGGGCAAAGUAAGAAACUAUGAAACCACAGGGGGGGUUUUUGAUGUUUUCCCUUUCUUUUAUUAUGUGAAGAACUGCAUGAUCAAGAUCUUCUCUGUAACUUCUCUCAAAAAAAGAUCUUCUCUGUAACAUAUUUUUCAAGUCAGAUUAAUCACAUCUAAUUAAAUAUCUUUAUCUUGAAUAAUAGGAUAUAAAAAUAAAUUUAUAUAAUUUAAUCUAAUCGAUAAAUUUAUAUAAUUUACAAAGUAUUAUAAAUAAUAAAUUAGGAUUAAUUUCAUACAGAUCCCUACAAACAUAAUGAAUAGCAAAUAUAUCCUUACAAAGUUUAACUUUCAUAUAUUGUCUCUACAAAAAUCUUGAUGUUUUCAAGUAUAUCCCUGCCGUUAGAAUCAAUUAGAAAAAUUAAGUUAAUCAUCAGCUAAAUACUUAACCUUGUUAGUUUUUAACAUUUUUAUCUCUCUUAUAUUAUAUUGUUAUGAUUUUUGAAGGGGCAUAUUUGUAAUGACAAAAUUGAAAAUAUAAACAGUUUUCUAACAAUAACAAACCAGAGAGACGUAUUUGAAAAUAUUACGACUUUUGUAGAAAUAACAUAUAAAAGUUGAAUUUUAUAAGAAUAUAUUUAUCAUUCACUAUAUUUAAAGAAAUAUGUAUGAAAUUAACCCUAUAAAUAUAUGUUUGUAAGAAGUAUUUCCAGUAUGAAUGCAUUUAAAAAGUUACAUGGGCUUCAGAUUUUUGAAACCCAGACCAAAUCUCUUGGCCACAGCUGUGGAUAAUAAAUUUCUUAGUUGUAACAGGUGAUUUAAAAUUUUAAACACUACUCUCUCUCUCUCUCUCUCUCUCUCUCUCCUAUGUAUCUAAAUGAUGGCAUUUAUGUGUGUUUGUUUCCUGGGCUCUUGCAUUUGCUGUCUCUGCUGCAGCUGCAGAUCCACAUUUGGCUUCUUGGUCCUGGCACUUUCCAACAAGCUGCUUCAUAGUGAGUCAAACAAGUUACCAUAUCAUCAUCAUCAUCAUUUAUGAGAGAGAGAGAGAGAGAGAGAGAGAGAGGACUUAAUAAAAACUCAGCAGGAUACUAUAAUGGAGUUGUAUCUUGUGGGGAUGGUUUUUGGCAGAGAGCAUCUUUUUCACCACCCAAACACAACUCAUGACUCAUGGCAGUGAUGACACACAUGACAUAAAUACAUAAAAAAAAAGGUUUCUUACCUGAACUAUACAUAGUUACAUUUUAGAAUGCACCUCUCAGUAUUAUACAGAAAAAACUUCAAAAAACCCUUUGCACUUUUUCAUUUUAGUAUUCCGUAGUUUAAAAUGUAUUAAGUUAGUAUCAUGUGGUUUCGUACUUUCUCACUUUAGUACCCUGUGGUUUAAAGUGUAUCAAGUUAGUAUCAUGUGGUUUUAUUUUUGUAUCAAGUUAGUAUCAUGUGGUUUUAUUUUUGUAUCAAGUUAGUACUCCGUGGUUUUAUUUUUCUCUUAAUGAAAUAUUAAAUCACAGGGUACUAAAGUCAGAAAGUAUGAAACCAUAGGAUACUAACUUGAUACACUUUGAACUAUAGAGUACUAAAGUGAGAAAGUGCAAAACCACAGAGUACUAAUUUAAUAUACUUUAAACCAUAUGAUACUAAAGUGAGAAAAAAUGAAACCAUCAGGGGGUAUUUGAAGUUUUCGCUAUAUAUAUAUAUAUACUAAUAGAAAAUCAGUAGUUUAAUUUGGUUAAAUGAAUUGGGGGCAAUUGAUCAAAUUUAAUAGUUUUAAUCAGUAGCAAGAAAUGGAACUAAAGUGAGUGCUGGGCCUACUGGAUAGUGACUGACAGAGUCCUAAAAGAUUUAAUAAAAUCUUUAACUUAACUAACUAAAAUAACACAUAAAAAAAAGGCCUAUAUUUUUACCUUCACUAUUUACCAUCUCUGUAUCCCAAUCUCUCUCUCUUUCUCUCUCUCUCUCUCUCUUAAAUCAUCACUAUGAUUAGGGUUAGCUGUUGGGAAUCAUAAGUGAUAAAAAAAAAAAAAAAGGAAAGAGAAAUAAAGGGGCUUUUCAUAUUUUGCAGUGUCCUCUCUUUUGAUUUUGCCAUAUGUGGGCAGUGAAAUAUUUACAGCAUGUCUCUUAUAUAUAAUCCCACUGUACCAAGAUGCAGUUAUUACUUCACCCAUUGUUGCAUGUGCCCUAGUACUCCCUCUCUCUCUUUUUUUUUAAAUUUUUUGUGUGUGUGAUGUGGAAGUAUCAAUAUGAAGCUUUAUCACAAGAGUACAUGGGAAUCAAGCUCUAGUACUUUUAAAAGUAUCAGUUAAUUGGUAUUUGUAGAUUUUCAGUUUUUGAAUUAAGAGAUGAGUCCUAUUGUAUUUUCGGCCUUUGAAUUAAUAAAUAUGAUAUACCGUAGAGAAUAUAUAUAUAAUUGGACUAAAAUAUUAUUAAAAUAGUAUUUGGCCUUUUUUAUUAUUAAGUUUUUAACAUUUAGAUAAAAAAUUAUAGAGUUGAGAUGAUAGUGGUCCCGUAAGUUUUACUGGUAGUCCUCCUAGGAUUGAGUAGGUGAUUGGUUGAAUAGUAUAAUCUAAAGGAUGGAAUUGAUUAAAAUGUAUAUCCAACGGCUAAAAAAUCGAUAGCAAAAAAGACCCAAAUACUAUUAAUUGUAUUUAAGCUCAACUCUCUCUCUCUCUCUCUCUCUCUCUAUAUAUAUAUAUAUGUCAAUUUCAUACAGAUUCCUAUAAAUAUAGUGAAUAGCAAUUAUAUUCCUACAAACUUCAACUUUCAUAUAUUGUCCUUCAAAAGUCCUAACGUUUUCAAAUAUAUCUCUCUGAUUUUUCACCAUUAGAGAACCAUUAGAGAAACUGUUUAUAUUUUCAAAUUUUUCAUCACAAAUAUAUAAGUUUUGAGCUUCUUUGCUUUUAAAAGUAUUAAUUCAUUGGUGCUUGUAGGUUUUCGACCAUUGGAUUAAAGAAGUGCGGUUAGAAUGAUAGUGUUUUCCUAGGGUUAAGUGGGUGGUAGGUGGAAUAGCAUAAUCGAAGGGGUGGAAUUGGUCAAAAGAAUAAAUCUAAUGGUGAGAAAUUUAUAAACACUAAGUGUUUUGUGUUUUUAAAAUCACCAUAGCUAGACUCUAUAUAUAUUCCUGUUAUGCUAUGUUUAGUAACAAAAUAUUAAAGAGAAUAAGGCCUUUUAUAUUAAUUGUCUCUUGUGCCAAACACAAAAGGUUUGACAUAAAUAGUUUAUUUUGAUUAAAACAGAUUAUUUUAAGUUAUUUAAUUAGAAUUCUUUUUCCUCCUCACCCUUGAAACAAGGGUUUUCUUUCAGUUUAUCAUUCGCCUAGUUGAUUCACAUUUUCAGGUAAGUUUAUUUUUAUAUGAAAUAAACGAAGCGGAUAGCGUACUAUCUAUCUCUCUCUCUCUCAAAAAAAAGAAACUAUACAUUAUUGUGGAAACUAGCAGAAGUAUCUGAUUGAAGCUUUUUGCAAAAGUAGUUCGUGCUAAUUUUUUUUCGAAUGUGAACCGGAUCGUAUAAGUUGAUUUUCGUGUUCUCGAGUCGUCGAUGAAGGUCUUCUAAUUCUCCAAAUUAACCUGCGGUGGACCGAACUAUAAGUGAGCUAAGCCUAUAUUCUACAAUUGCAAUAGAUUAACGAAGGAUUCUCUCUCCCUCAAGAUGGUAUACGAAUUUUUUACGAAUUUUUCUUGAUUUUUUGGUUAAUUUCUAUCCCUCUUUUACACGUCUCUCAUGAGAGAACACCCUAAUAUUUAUAAGGUUCUCAAUGCCCUAAAAUUUCAGGCCAAAUCGGUUUAUAAUUAUCAUUCUAAUAUAACGAGAAAAUAUGUCUAAUUAGCUUUUCAAAUUAAAAAUGAGAUACAAUCUAGUCUAAGUAGAUAAUAUAAUAAUCAUUGAAUCGAGCCUGAUCAUAGGCGCAUCAAAUUUGACAAAAUGCCGCAUUCACAAUUCUUAAGAAAUAAUUAAACAUUAUUUUGGUUAUAUUUGGAAAUAACCAUAUGUCGGACCAAAGACAAAAUUUCUCUUCUUCUUCUCUAUUCUAGAAUAUUGAGUUAUUUCAAAAAUAAAAAUUAUUUAUUCCUUCAUAUAUUAUAGUGUUACCAAAAACUAUCUCUUUGUCAUUGUAUAAAAUACACUACAACCAAAACGGUUUAUAGCGACACUUCUAAAUGUAGGUACAUGUCAAAAAAGUGUUGCUAGCUAAAAUUACCGAUACUUUUAAAAAGUGUUGCUAUAUGUGGGGUCGCUAGGUAUAUAGUAACAGUUAAAGAGUGUCGCUAUAACCUAAAAGAGUGCUAUUAAUUUACCAACACUUAUUUAAGCAUUUAGCAACCGUCGAAACUCUAUCUCGUUGGCUGCGGUGGCGGAGGGGGACGACAGGAAAGGCUCUUCGUCUAGAAUUUCAGUGGAUUGAGUAAAGAGAGAAGAAAAGAUGGUAAUUGAUUUUUCUUUUUUUUUCAUUUCUAUUUAUAAUCGGGCCAACUAGACUGGGUGUGGUGGGUUGAGUAGAGUAAUGUUUUAUUUUUGGUUGGAUUGGGCUUUAUAUUUAGGCAUUAGUAGAUAUUUUUUUAAGUUUUAGCAUAAAUAUGACACUUACUCAAAAGUGUUCUAAACAUGUGUUUCUAUAAUCUAAUUCUGUUGUAGUGAGAGUUAAGGUAAACCUACAAAAGUAUGCCAUACCCAAAUUAUUACAAUCUACGUAACAUAAUAUUUUUUUUAUUUCUUUCCGCUAUACUUUUUUACUAUAUGUAAGGCAUCCUUCCUACCGUCCAAAUUCAAAUGUUGGAUUAAGUGUCGUGUCAUUUGAAAGAUAACUACUACU
RNAcentral lists this long non-coding RNA (48665 nucleotides) under Ananas comosus (pineapple). RNAcentral's name for it is "long non-coding RNA (ACOM_LNC020663)". The record is from RNAcentral. Lineage: Eukaryota; Viridiplantae; Streptophyta; Magnoliopsida; Poales; Bromeliaceae.